AGGCGGGAGAAUCACUUGAACCCAGGAGGUGGAGGUUGCAGUGAGCCAAGAUUGCACCACUGCAUUCCAGCCUGGGUGACUGAGCAAGACUGUCUCAAAAAAACCCCCAAAAAACAAAAAUUAGCUGGGCGUGGUGAUGCAGGCCUGUAAUCCUAGCUACUGGGAAGGCUGAGACAGGAGAAUCGCUUGAACCCAGGAGGUGGAGGUUGCAGUGAGCUGAGAUUGUGCCACUGCACUCCAGCCUGGGCAACAGAGUGAGACUCUGUCUCAAAAAACAAAACAAAACAAAACAAAACAAGUCAAACAGUACAAGGAGUCUUCUCUUCUUCCUUCCAGUCCCACCCCUCUAUAAUGAAUGAGUGAUAAUGGUAACAGUUUGGUGGUCUCCUUCCUUUUUGAUGCUUAUACAAACAUGUUCAAAGAUAUAUGUGCAUAUAAGAUUCUUUCAAACACUGGAUCAUACUGUAAUAUAUUAAAAUAACAGACUCUUUUCACUUAACAUUUUUUCAUGGAUAUCUGUCCAGAUCAAUCCAUUUAUAUAUAACUUAUUUUUUAUAGCUAUAUACUAGUAUCCUUAGAAUGGAUACAUUAUUUAUUCAGCUCACCUCCUUGUUUCAGAAAUUUAGGUUAUUUCUAGGUUUGUUUUUUACUACUUCAAACAAUGCUGCAAUAAACAUUCUUGUACAUCAAAUCUUUGUACUGAUGCUUUAAUUUCUAUGGAUGGUUCCUAAAACUUUCUGUGUGGUGCAUGGACAAGCAGGGACAGUUUGGAUGAUAGCAGGUACCUAUCCCUCCCGCUGUCCAUCCCCCCGCUUGGCCAUCCCUGGGGCUUCUCCCCCAGGCGAUCCAAGUGUGUCACCUGUCUGGUCAGUUGACCCCACCUCUCAACUGCCAUAAAGCCCAGCUUAGAGCAGGUCCCAUCCAUUGUUUUUUGUUUGUUUGUUUGAGACAGAGUCUCCCUCUGUUGCCCAGGCUGGAGUGCAGUGGCAUGAUCUUGGCUCUCUGCAACCUACACCUCCUGGGUACAAGCAAUUCUUGUGCCUCAGUCUCCUGAGUAGCUGGGAUUAUGGUAUGUGCCACCACGCCUGGCUAAUUUUUUGUUUUUUGUUUUUUGUUUUUUUUUUGAGACAGAGUUUUGUUCUUGUCACCCAGGCUAGAGUGCAAUGGUGUGAUCUCAGCUCACUGCAACCUCUGCCUCCUGGGUUCAAGCUAUUCUCCCGCUUCAGCUUCCCAAGUAGCUGGGACUACAGGCCCGGGUCACCACACCUGGCUAAUUUUUGUAUUUUUAGUAGGGAUGGAGUUUCACCAUGUUGGCCAGGGUGGUCUUGAACUCCUGACUUUGGGUGAUCUGCCUGUCUCGGCCUCUGAAUGUGCUGGGAUUACAGGCAUGAGCCACCGCACCUGGCUCAUCCACUGUUUUGAUCUGGGUGCCUGUCUACUUUUUCUGCCCGUCCAGCCUUUACAAGGUCAAUUCCCCAGGAGCGAGCGGUCAGAAGUAUUAAUUUUUUUGGUCACACACCCAAAAAUUUUGCUGUAGAGAGAGGUUUCACUGUGUUGCCCAGGCUGGCCUUGAACUCCUGGGCUCAUGUGAUUCUCCUGCCUCAGCUUCCUGAGUAGCUGGGACUACAGGUACACCUCAGUAUGUAUGUGUUUUGCCAGGCUGGUCUUGAACUCUUGGGCUCAAGCAAUCCUCCUGCCUUAGCCUCCCAAAGUGAUAGGAUUAUAGGUAUAAGCCACCACAGCUGACCUGUUUUUUUAUUUUUUAUUUUUUGUUUUUGAGACGAUGUCUUGCUCUGCCACCCACGCUGGAGUGCAGUGGUAUGGUCUCGGCUCACUGCACCCUCUGCCUGCUGGGUUCAAGUGAUUUUCCUGCCUCAGCCUCCUGAGUAGCUGGUAUUACAGGCAUCCACCAUCAUGCCCAGCUAAUUUUUGUAUUGGCGUAGAGACAGGGUUUUACCAUGUUGGCCAGGCUGGUCUUGAACUCUUGACCUCAGGUGAUCUGCCCGCCUCAGCCUCCCAAAGUGCUGGGAUUACAGGUGUGAGCUCCCACACCCGGCCUGACCUGUUUUUAUUUUAAUUUAAUUUAAUUUUAUUUUAAUUAUUUUGAGAUUAGGCUCCACUCGGUCGCCCAGGCUGGAGUGCAGUGGUGCAAUCACAGCUCAUUGCAGCCUUGACCUCCCAGGGUCAAGUGAUCCUCCCACCUCAACCUCCUGAGUAGCUGGGACUACAGGUUGGCACCACCACACCUGGCUAAUUUUAAAAAAUUUUGGGGGCUGGGUGCAGUGGCUCAUGCCUGGAAUCCCAGCACUUUGGGAGGCCGAGGCAGGCAGAUCACGAGGUCAGGAGUUCGAGACCAGCCUGGCCAACAUAGUGAAACCCAGUCUCUACUAAAAAUACAAAAAUUAAGCCGGGCAUGGUGGCGCACGCCUGUAAUCCUAGCUAGUCAGGACGCUGAGGCAGGAGAAUUGCCUGAACCCAGGAGGCGGAGGUUGUAGUGAGCCGAGAUCAUGCCACUGCACUCCAGCCUGGGCGACAGAGAGAGAGACUCAUCUCAAAACAAAACAAAACAAAAAAGUUGGCCAGGCGUGGUGGCUCACUCCUGUAGUCCCAGCACUUUGGGAGGCCGAGGUGGGCGGAUCAUGAGGUCAGGAGAUCGAGACCAUCCUGGCUAACAUGAUGAAACGCCAUCUCUACUAAAAAUACAAAAAAUUAGCCGGGCGUGGUGGUGGGCACCUAUAGUCUCAGCUACUUGGGAGGCUGAGGCAGGAGAAUGGCAUGAACCCGGGAGGCAGAAGUUGCAGUGAGCCGAGAUUGCGCCACUGCACUCCAGCCUGGGCGACAGAGUGAGACUCUGUCUCAAAAAAAAAAAAAAAAAAGGUUUUGUGGAGAUGAGGUCUUGUGGCUUGUGGUGUUGCCCGGGCUGGUCUUGAACUCCUGGGCUUAAGCCAUCCUCCCACCUCAGCCUCCCAGUGUUGGAAUUACAGGCAUGAGCCACGUGCCCGGCUGUCUUUGUUUUUUUUAUAUGAGGUCCUCUCUCCCUUAACAUGGAGAAGCAUUAAAAGUGUGGCCCCAGAUCCCUCUGUCCAGGAAGCCUCUGUGGACUGCCCCUUACUUUUCAUGAUGUCCAUGAUGUGGCGCUGCUGGAUGUUCGUCAGUUUGGAUUCCUUCAUCAUCACUGCACGACAAAGCAUUCUAUGAGGUCUCUUGGGCUGCAAGCGGAUGCCUUCACCUGACACCCUACUGAAAUUUAAAACCCUACAUCCUAGCCCCAUUCUGCACUGAGCAUGCCUUCUCUAUCUUUCCUGCUUUGUUUUUUCUAUAGCACUUACGACCACCUAAAAUUCUAUAUAUUUUAUUUUAUUGUUAUCCUUCUAUAUUAGCUGUAUGAUAAGAAUUUUUGCUGGUUUAAUAAAAUUUCUGCCCUCUGUUAAAUAUUUUUUCCUCUUUCUCUUUUUUUUUUUUUUUUUUUUUUUUUUUGAGAUGGAGCUUCCAUCUUGUUGCCCAGGCUGGAGUGCAGUGGCGCGACCUCAGCUCACUGCAAUCUCCACCUCCUGGGUUCAAGGAAUUCUCCUGCCUCAGCCUCCCGAGUAGCUGGGAUUACAGACAUGCGCCACCACGCCCGGCUAAUUUUGUACUUUUAGUAGAGACUGGGUUUCUCCAUGUUGGUCAGGCUGGUCGUGAACUCCUAACCUCAGGUGAUCUGCCCACCUUGGCCUCCCAAAGUGCUGGGAUUACCGGCUUGAGCCACCUCAUUUUCUUUCACUGCUGUAUCCCCAGCACCUAAAACAGAGUCUAAGGCACAUGGUAGACUUAAAAAUGCUGUUGUUGGAAAAAAACAAAAAAGUUGUUGAGUAAAAGAACACAUGAACACUUGUUCAUCAUGUUUCAGGGGCUGGAGCUACAAUUGUGAGCCGAAACAGGCACGGUUCCUGCCUGAUGAAAUUCAUGAUCUGGAGGGAUAGAUGGGACACCAAAUAACUGACUACAGCUUGUGCUAAGCCCAGUGAAGGAAAAUGUGUGAGGGCGCAUAACAGUUGAUCCUACUGUGGUGGUGAGGAGCAGAAGUCUUCCUCGGGAAAGUUGAAAGUAUGAUCUAAAGGAUGCAUAGGAGUUAACUACUCUAAAAAUUUUAGUUCUUUGACUUUUGGCAAGGUGUAGCACCUUGAACCUUCCCCUCCCCCCCGCCCCGCCCCGCCCCGCCCCCAACUAAGGCAUAUGCAGUAGAAUUUUGAAGCUUUCUGAACCCCAGGCUCCUUAUCUGUAAAGGAAAAUAGUGCUAAGCCAUAGGUCAGGUAUGGGGGAACUGAGUUACAGAGGGUAACUACCACCAUUCUUCUCUCAUCCUUUAACUCAGGGGUCCCCAACCCCCCGUCCGUGGACUGGUACCAGUCCCUGGCCUGUUAGGAACCGGGCCGCACAGCAGGAGGUGAGCGGCAGGCUAGCGAGCCUCACCGCCUCCUUUCAGGUCAGUGACGGCCUUAGAUUCUCAUAGGAGCGCGAACCCUAUUGUGAACUGCGCACGCGAGGGAUCUAGGUUGCACGCUCCUUAUGAGAAUCUAAUACCUGAUGAUCUGAGGUGGAACAGUUUCAUCCCGAAACCAUUCUCCACACCUCCGUCAGUGGAAAAAUUGUCUUCCACGAAACCGGUCCCUGGUGCCAAAAAGGCUGGGAUCGCUGCUUUAACGCACUGACCUCUGAGCAGCUCGCAGGUCCCCGGGGUGUAAGUGGUGGUCUUGGGGCGGCGCCGGAACCCAGUUCCUUUGGUCACUACCUCCAUCUGCUUCUGUGAAGCCAUGGGAGGACUCUGAGGAGGGAAAGACGCAAUGACACACCCCCUGUCUCCUGUCCCUAAUCUCUGUUCCCCGACGCCCAACACCCCCAGAAGUCUGGAAGCGGGGAUCGAGCCAGAGAAUGAUGCCGCCAGUUAAUAUUGCGACAGUGCCCAAACCUCCCAUCCAGACACACAGAUACACACACACAGUCCUCAUUCUGACCCAGCGCCUGUGGCAGGGAAGUCUCCUCGGGAGGGAGUGUUAACACAGCCAUGGUCACAACAGUACCCACUGAGUGAUAUGCCAAAAUUGAAAUUUCACCCUAAGACCCUCUCUGGGUGCUCCCCUCUCCACAUAGAAGUGGGCUCCCGGAGGCGGUGACCACUGCUUUACAGCCGCAUCCGCACCGGUGCCACGCAGAAAUACUGCGCGACCUGGGCUGCUGGAGCUGGCAGCUAGCGCCUCUGGCUACUAUAGAAACGCGCGCACACCAGUCAGCGCAUGCGCACUUUCCCCGCUCUGUCCUGCCUCCCGGAAGUGAUUUCCUCUGGGUUACGGCGCAGGCGCAAGAUAAGCUAGGAGCCGCGCGAGUCGUAGUGUCGCUGUUUGCGGGUCUCCGCGCGGGACCGGGGCGCAGCGGGGUCGCUGAGGCGAGGGUGUCAUGUCAGACAACGAGGACAAGUGAGUGCGGGAGCGGAGUGGCCUUUGCGGCAACCUUGGAAGGGGCGGAUGAGGCAAGGCUUGGGUCGGCUGAGGAGCCUGGCGUCUAGGGCAAUGUCUGAGGGGACUGGGGUCCUGAGGGGGCCGGCGGAGCCGAGGAAGGGAAGGGCGGGCGACCCAGGAGCACAGCCCCGGCUGGAGGCACAGGAGGGCCCAGGCUCGAGGGUCCAGAGGGGAUCCGUAGAAAAGGUGUCCUUCAGCAAAUGUUCCAGCGAGCCGGGCUCUGUGUCAUGCAGUGGGAAUAUUGAGGUGAAUGAACAAUCGUCCCUGCCUUUCCACGUGCUCACUUUCUAGAACAGGGGUCACAGGCCCAUAAGUAAGCAAGCAAGCAGGUAACGGUGGUCGCGUGAGCUUCCCCAGUUCUAGAAGUAUGUAGUAUAGGAGUACUCCAGAGGAGGGUCUGGGGCAGCUCCACCGGGUGGCAUUAAAUAAAAGUAUGGGACGGUCCUUUGCAGUAUUUUUUUUUUUUUUUGAAACAGAGUCUUGCUCUGUCGCCCAGGCUGGAGUGCAGUGGCGCGAUCUCGGCUCACUGCAGCCUCCGCCUCCGGGGUUCAAGGGAUUCUCCUGCCUCAGCCUCCCGACUAGCUGGGAUUAUGGGCGUGCACCACCACGCCUUGCUAAUUGUUUGUAGUUUUAGUAGAGACGGGUUUCACCAUGUUGGCCAGACUGGCCUCGAACUCCUGAGCUUGUGAUCCACCCGCCUCGGCCUCCCAAAGUGCUGGGAUCACAGGCGUGAGCCACCGUGCCCGGCCUGCUUGUAGUAAUCUAGAUGAGAGAAGUCAGUAGCUUAUAGUAGGGUGGUAGGAGUAGAGGUGGUGAGAACUGGUUUUGAAUUCUGGAUAUAUUACUGUUUUAAAGAUAGAGCCCAAAAAUUACCUGUUGGAUGUGUGGGUGCAAAGAGAGCUAGUCUGAGGAUAAAAAUAAGAAACGUGUGGGAUUGCUACCGCAUUCCCAGUGAGUGUCAGUAGAGAAGAGGAGAUGACCCGUGGCUGAGCAUUAGGGCAUUUGGACAUUGAGUGCUUGGGGGAAAAGAGAAGCCGGGGAGGUGGGGGAACACCAAGAGGGUGAGGUGUCCUUGGAGUCAAGUGAGGAGAGCAAGUGGCCUAAUGUGCCAGCUGAUAGAUCAGGCUAAAUGAGAAGGAGAGUUGGCCAUUGGAUUUAGCAACGUGGAGAUCAUUAAUGAGCUUGGAAAGUGGUUUUGAUGGAGCUGUUGGGGUGAAAGGCUUUUUGGAGUGAGAUUAUGACAAAAUGGGAAGAGGAAGAUAGUGAGGGUGGACAGCUCUUUCACACAUUUUUGCUUCAAAGGACACCAUGGAAUUAGGGCUAUAGGGGGAGAGAGAAGAGAAAUAAGGGUUUUUUGUUUGUUUGUUUUUGUUUUUUUAGAUGAGGAAAAGCACAUGUUGAAAUGCUGAUGGGGCCGGGUGCUGUGGCUUACACCUCUAAUCCCAGCACUUUGGGAGGCCGAGGAGGGUGGAUCACCUGAGGCCAGGAGUUCGAGACCAGCCUGGUCAACAUGGUGAAACCCCAUCUUUACUAAAAAUACAAAAAUUAGCUGGGCAUGGUGGCGUGUGCCUAUAAUCCCAGCUACUCGGGAGGCUGAGACAGGAGAAUUGCUUGAACCCAGGAGGCGGAGGUUGCAGUGAGCCAAGAUCACGCCAUUGCACUCCAUCCUGGACAACAGAGCGAGACUUUGUCUCAAAAAAAAAAAAAAAUGCUGAUGGGAAUGAUCCAGUAGAGAGGGAAACAGUGAUGACGAAUGAGUACUAGCAAUAUUUGGGGGCAGAUGGGGAAAAAUUGAAGGGGUAAAAUGGAACAAAAGUCGGAUUUACUUCUUCUUCUUCUUCUUAUUUUUUAUUUUUUGAGAAGGAGUCUCACUGUGUCACCCAGGCUGGAGUGCAGUGGGGUGACCGUGGCUCAGUGCACCCUCCGCCUCUCGGGUUCAAGCAAUUCUUGUGCCUCAGCCUCCUGAGUAGCUGGGAUUACAGGCGCCCACGACCACACUCGGCUAAUUUUUUUGUAUUUUUAGCAGAGACGAGAUUUCUCCAUGUUGGCCAGGCUGGUCUUGGACUCCUGACCUCAAGUGAUGCACCCACCCCGGCCUCUCAAAGUGCUGGGAUUACAGACGUGAGCCACUGCACCCAGCUGAUUUACUUAUUAAGUAAAUAUUUAUUGAGUGCUUCCUACACACUGGGCGAGACACAGAUCUCUGCCCUCUUUGAUUUUUUUGUUUGUUUGUUUUUUGUUUUGCGGUGGCGGGGGGUUUUUGAGACGGAGUUUCACUCUUGUUGCCCAGGCUGGAGUGCAAUGGCGUGAUCUCAGCUCACCACAACCUCCGCCUCCUGGGUUCAAGUGAUUCUCCUGCCUCAGCCUCCCAAGUAGUUGGGAUUACAGGCAUGUACCACCACCACUCCCGGCUAAUUUUGUAUUUUUAGUAGAGAUGGGGUUUCAUCAUGUUGGUCAGGCUGGCCUUGAACUCCACCCGCCUUGGCCUCCCAAAGUGCUGGGAUUACAGGCUUAAUCCCAGAGCCACAAUACAAAGCCACCAUGCCCGGCCUCUGAAUUUUUUUUUUUUUAAUUUUUCUUAUUUAUUUUGAGACAGGUCCUUGUUCUGUCACCCAUGCUGGAGUACAGCGGUGCAAUCUUGGCUCGCUGCAACCUCCACCUCCUGGGUUCAAGCAAUUCUUGUGACUCAGCCCCCCAAGUAGCUGGUAUUACAGACAUGUGCCACCAUGCCCGGCUAAUUUUUGUAUUUUUAGUAGAGAUGGGGUUUUGCCUUGUUGGCCAGGCUGGUCUUGAAUUCCUGGCCUCAAGUGAUCCACCCACUUCAAUCUCCGAAAGUACCAGGAUUACAAGUGUGAUCCACCGUGCCCGGCCCCUCUUUGAUUCUUUUAAGUGAUGCUCUAAGUAAUUGAUCUCUUCUUCCUGUACAGUUUUGAUGGCGACGACUUUGAUGAUGUGGAGGAGGAUGAAGGGCUAGAUGACUUGGAGAAUGCCGAAGAGGUCAGUAUUCAGCCUCAGGCUCCCACCUCUGCAGCCCAAGCUGCCAAAUCGUCUGGCAGGUGAUGAUUAGCUGAAUGUGUCUGCCUUCUAUUUGUGGUCAAGGCCCCUGCCAUAAGCAUUCCCAGUUAAGAGUGAGCUGUGUUCCAGUCUUGCAUAGCAGAACAGCCCUGCAGGGUGGGCCUGAAAGCUUUUGUCCAUGUGGUCCACAGCCUGUGGCUUCUGGGGCAGUUAGUUCACUGACAAGUUAAACAGUGCCUUCCUUCAUUUGGCAAACAUGUGUUGAAUGUUUAUUAUAUGCCAGGUGCUUUCUGCUGGGUGGGACUGCUUAAGGAGCAAAGGGAAGAGGUAAGCAGGGCUCAGAUGAGGCAGUAUUUUGUAGCCUAAAGGCAAUGGGAAGCUACUGACAAACUUUGAGCCAGGGCACAGUCCAGGUUACAUUUUAGAAAGUACAUUCCUGCCUCGAGUAAGGAGUGAACUGGGGAAGGGCAAGAGUGAAAGGUGAGAGGCCUGUGGCUUGGACAUAGGUGCUGGUAGUGCAGGUGAUGAGAAGGCAGAUGAAAGAGUUAUUUCGGUGGGUUGGUUAUGGGGCUGAGAAAGUCAGUGGUGACGAGGACGACUCUCAGGUUUCUGGCUUGAGCAACUAGGUGGAUAGGUUGCCAGCCUCAAGAGGAAAGUAGGGCUUUCUGUCCUGUGUGACUGAUGAGGGAAAAAAUGCAGUUAUGUUCUGGAGAGACAUGGAGCCUUCUCUCUCUCUGCAUGGCACUUUCAGAUACCUUUUCACUUGAGUCAGAUGCGUCCUUCUCCAUCCUUCUGGUCCCCUUCCCAUCCCUGUCAUGUAGAUUGUGCCUCCUAGAUGUACUUCAGCCCUGUCUGCAUUUUUCUACUCCUGGUGCCUUAACCUGGCUUAGAUCUUAUUGCUUUUCACUCACAUUCCUGCAGGAAUUGUGUGGCUGGUUUUCCUGCUUCAGUCUCACUCCAGACUCUGCUCUGUGUGCUCUUCUCCUUUCAGCACCCUUUCUUACUUGCCCACAUGCUCAGUUACUACUGGCUUUCCUAAAUGGCCUCUCUGCUUCUGCCACUGCCCCCUGCAGAAUAUUCGCAACAGAGUAUCCAGAGUGAUCCUUUCUUUCUGUUUUUUUUUUUUGUUGUUGUUGUUGUUUGUUUGCUUGUUUUAAAUUAAGAAGUGGUGUCUUGCUACGUUGACUAGGCUAGAGUACAAUGGCUAUUUUCAGGUGUGGUCAUAGCGCACUACAGCCUUGAACUCCUGGGCUCAAGUGAUCCUUCCAGUUCGGCCUCCUGAGUAGCUGGGACUGCAGGUUCUGCACCACCAUGCCCAGCUCAGAGUCAACUUUUUUUUUUUUUUUUUUUGGAGACGGGGUCUUGCUCUGUCGCCCAGGCUGGAGCGCAGUGGGGCGAUGUUGACUCACUGCAAGCUCUGCUUCCCGGGUUCAUGCCAUUCUCCUUCCUCAGCCUUCUGAGUAGCUGGGACUACAGGUGCCCACCACCACGCCCGGCUAAUUUUUUUUUUUUUUGUAUUUUUAGUAAUGACGGGGUUCACCGUGUUGGCCAGGAUGGUCUCGAUCUCCUGCCUUGUGAUCCGCCCGCCUCGGCCUCUCAAAGUGCUGGGAUUACAGGUGUGAGCCACUGCGCCUGGCCUGUUUACUUAAUUCUUUAUAUACCACAGAAUUUAUUCUCUUGCCUACAAUCCUCUACACACCUUUUGUUCUAAUUAUUGUCCACAACUAGUUGUCCAAACCUCUUUCUCCUCUAUGCCUUUGCAUGUUGCCUCCUUCCUCAUUGGUUUGACAGCUCCUGCUCAUCCUUCUAGGUGAGCUCAAGUCUCAUCCCUGGAGUUUUCCUAACCCCCAGUGUGAGUGAGGUGUCCCCACCUCCUCGGGAACUCUGUUGCACCCUUCAUAGCACCUGCUCUGUUUACUCUUGUCUCCCCUUUAGACCAUUAAUUGAGAGCGGAAAUUUCUAGCUUGCUUUCUCAGCAUCUGUUAACAAUAUCUGGCUCAGGACAAAUGCUUAGUAAGUAAUUGUUAAAUAUUCCUGCCUUCACCUUGACUUUUCUAGCCACUUGACCCAUUGGCUCAGCUCCCCUAUCUGAAAGAUGGGGAGACUAUUCCUAGCUUCCUGCUUAGGGUAAUUUUUUUGUGCCAGGACCUCUUUUACAGGACCAACAUUCUGAUACCACCCCAUCUCCAGGCCCUCUGCUCUCUUCUGGAUGAGGCAGUUAGCUCUGGAAUCUCAGACCUCCAUUACCAGGUCUGAGGCUUGGUCAGGUUAGCUGACUUUCCAAGCCUCUGAAAUGAGAACUGUAAUCCCUGCCUCAUAAGGUUAUUGUAAGGAUUACAUGAGUUGUUAGGAAGCAGUUAUGCGGUCCCCUGGCAUGCAGUAAGCAUUAACGGUGGCUGUAGCGAGGAUUGUGAUUGUUGUCAUUAUCACCCUCCCUGUAACCCAAAAAUGCCACCUGAGACUUUCCCUCUUUUUUGUCUUGGUGUCCAGGAAGGCCAGGAGAAUGUCGAGAUCCUCCCCUCUGGGGAGCGACCGCAGGCCAACCAGAAGCGAAUCACCACACCAUACAUGACCAAGUACGAGCGAGCCCGCGUGCUGGGCACCCGAGCACUCCAGAUUGCGUGAGUGAUUGCCCCUUCACUGUCUUCUCCAUCUGUCAGGCCACAGUAAGCUCUUGUACCACUGAUCUUUCCCAGCCUGGCACCUGAAAACAGACUCUCUGCUCUCACAUUCCAAAAGUGGUGCCGUCCCUGCGUACCAGGCAUUGAGCUAGUCCCCUGCCCUCAGGGAGCUUGUGAUCUAAUAGGAGAACUAGGACAUGAACAUCUGAGAAGUCAAGUAACAGUAUGGGAGAAAAACGAUAAAAAAAAAAAACCAGAACUAGAUGGUUGCCUGUCAGAUUAGUGUAGCAAAAAAGGUGAAUUCAGAGCCAAUGUGUACCAGUGUGGUUUUUUUUUUUUUUUUUUGAGAUAGAGUCCCGCUGAGUCACCUAGGCUGGAGUGCAAUGGCACAAUCUCAGCUCACUGCAACCUCUGCCUCCCAGGUUCAAGUGAUUCUCGUGCCUCAGCCUCCCAGGUAGCUGGAAUUACAGGCAUGUGCCACCAUGCCUAACUAAUUGUUGUGUUUUUAAUAGAGACGGGGUCUCGCCAUGUUGCCUAGGCUAGUCUCGAACUCCUAGCUUCAAGUGAUCCACCUGCCUCUGCCUCCCAAAGUGUUGGGAUUGCAGGUGAGAGCCACCGCGCCCGGCCAUGUUGGUUCUUUGUUGUUUUAUUUUCUGAGUCAAGAUCUCAAUCUGUUGCCCAUGCUGGAGCACAGGGGCCUGAUCAUGGCCCAUUGCAGCCUCAAACUCCUGGGCUCAAGCAAUUUUCUUUUCUUUUUUUUUUUUUUUGACAGAGUCUUGCUCUGUCUCCCAUGCUGGAGUGCACUGGCCCAAUCUCAGCUCAAUACAACCCCUGUCUCCCGGGUUCAAGCGAUUGUCCUGCCUCAGCCUCCCGCGUAGCUGGGACUACAGGCAUCCGCCACCACACCUGGCUAAUUUUUGUAUUUUUUCUUUUUUUUUUUUUUUUUUUUGAGAUGGAGUCUCGCUCUAUCACCCAGCCUGGAGUGCAGUGGCGUGAUCUCUGCUCACUGCAAGUGCUGCCUCCUGGGUUCACGCCCUUCUCCUGCCUCAGCCUCCACAGUAGCUGGGACUACAGGCGCCCGCCACCACGCCCAGCUAGUUUUUUGUAUUUUUAAUAGAGACGGGGUUUCACCAUGUUAGCCAGGAUGGUCUCUUUCUCCUGACCUCAUGAUCCACCCGCCUCGGCCUCCCAAAGUGUUGGGAUUACAGACGUGAGCCACCGUGCCCGGCUAUUUUUGUAUUUUUAGUAGAGACGGGGUUUCACCAUAUUGGCCAGGCUGGUCUCAAACUCCUGACCUUGUGAUCCACCCGCCUUGGCCUCCCAAAGUGUUGGGAUUACAGGCGUGAGCCACCGUGCCCGGCUGGUGCGAUUUUCUUUUUUCUUUUUUUUUUUUUGAGAUGGAGUCUCGCUCUGUCGCCCAAGCUGGAGUGCCGUGGCGUGAUCUCGGUUCACUGCAAUAUCCGCCCCCUAGGAUCACGCCAUUCUCCUGCCUCAGCCUCCCGAGUAGCUGGGACUACAGGUGCCCACCACAACGCCUGGCUAAUUUUUUUGUAUUUUUAGUAGAGACGGGGUUUCACCAUGUUGGUCAGGCUGGUCUCGAACUCCUGACCUCGUGAUCCACCUGCCUUGGCCUCCCAAAGUGCUGGGAUUACAGGCGUGAGCCACUGCGCCCAGCCUAUUUAUUUUUUUUUUUGAGAAGGAGUCUCACUCUGUCACCCAGGCUGGAGUGCAGUGGUGUGAUCUCGGCUCACUGCAUCCUCCGCCUCCCGGGUUCAAGUGAUUCUCCCACCUGAGCUUCCCGGGUAGCUGGGAUUACAGGCACCCGCCACCACGCCUGGCUAAUUUUUGUAUUUUUAGUAGGGACGGGGUUUCACCAUGUUCGUUGGCCAGGCUGGUCUUGAACUCCUGAUCUCAGGUGAUCCUCCUGCCUCAGACUCCCAAAGUACUGGGAUUACAGGCAUGAGCCACCACGCCCAGCCUUUUCUUUUAUUUUUUUAGAGACAGUUUGGCUCUAUCACCCAGGCUGGAGUGCAGUGGUGCUAUCAUAGCUCACUGCAGCCUCAAAACUUCUAGGCUUAAGUGAUCUUCCCACUUCAGCCUCCCAGGUAGCUAGGACUACAUACAGGCUAAUGCCACCACACCUGGCUAAUGUCUUAAUUUUUUGUAGAGACAGGGUCUCACAAAAAGACUCCUGGCUUCCAGUGAUCCCCCUGCUUCAGCCUUCAAAGUGCUGGGAUUACAACUAGCCACAUUUCAAGUGUGUUCAGUAGCCACAUGUGGCUACUGGUUACCAUAAAGGAUAGCACAGGGGGAUAGGACAUUUCUGUCAUUGCAGAGCAUUCUAUGGGGCACACUAAUAUAGGCUAAAAGUGGUCCAGUAGAAAGAAGAAUUCAUAAGUUAUUUUUAAAACAAAUAGACUGCUUAUUUGCAAGUUAAACAGUCUUUCAGCACUGAAGAAAGAUACUGCAUUAGCACUUGAUAGGAUGCUGAGAUGAUUAAAGAUGUAGUCCCAGCCGGGCGCGGUGGCUCACACCUGGAAUCCGAGCACUAUGGGAGGCCAAGGUGGGCGGAUCACCUGAGGUCAGGAGUUCGAGAGCAGCCUGGCCAACAUGGUGAAACCCCGUCUCUACUAAAAAUACAAAAAUUAGCCGGGUGUGGUGGCAUGCGCCUAUAAUCCCAGCUACUGGGGAGGCUGAGGCAAGAGAAUCGCUUGAACCUGGGAGGCAGAGGUUGCAGUGAGCCAAGAUCGCGCCACUAAUCCAGCCUGGGUGACAGAGUGAGACUCUGUUACCAAAAAUAAUUAAAAAAAAAAAAAAAGACAUAAUCCCCAGUCCUCCAGGUGUUUUCUGGUGGGGGAGAUAGACCUGUGCACAGGUACCCACAACCCAAGGCAGAUGCGAGUGGUGCUUUAUGAAAGGUACAAAGAGAGUUAUUGCAGAGGUGACUGGGAAAGCCUUGUGAAGGGAUUAGAAUUCUAGUGGGGACAGGUAAAGAGAGUUGGUUUUGUGGGUACUUCAGGUGCCAGAAACAGCCCAAGGAAAGGUCCAGGUGGAGGCAGGCAGUUGUGGAUUUGUGAUGAGGGAUCAUAAGCAGCUUGGGGCAUAAGGCUGGAGAAGAUGACACUGGUCCUGUGAGUGACAAGUUCAGAAGAUUAGAGUUCAUUUGGUGGGCAGUGUGCAGCACUUAAAGGUUUUGAGGCCGACAUCCAGCAUCCAGGCCACUCAUAAAUCCAAGUGUCCUGUUUUUCUUUUCUUUCUUUCUUUUUUUUUUUUUUUUUGAGAUGGAGUUUUGCUCUUGUUGCCCAGGCUGGAGUGCAAUGGCAUGAUCUUGGCUGAUUGCAACCUCUGCCUCCUGGGUUCAAGGAAUUCUCCAGCCUCAGCCUCCUGAGUAGCUGGGAUUACAGGCACACACCACCAUGCCUGGCUAAUAUUUUGUAUUUUUAGUAGAGACGGUGUUUCACCAUGUUGGUCGGGCUGGUCUCGAACUCGUGACCUCAGGUGAUCCACCUGCCUUGGCCUCCCGAAGUGCUGGGAUUACAGGCAUGAGCCACUGUGCCCAGCCAAGUGUCCUGUUUUUCUUGGGGAGCAAAGCUUGAUCCAGCUCAUUCCAGUCUUUAGUGCUCUUUCCACUUAAGGGCUAUGACACCAUCUGGUGGCUCCUUGCCUGCUGUAAGCUCUUGUACAGCCAUAAUGGGACUCUGCACUUGGUAGGUGCAGAUGGAGUCUCACUCUCUCACCUAGGCUGGAGUGCAGUGGUGCCAUCUCGGCUCACUGCAACCUUCACCUCCUGGUUCAAGCGAUUCUCGUGCCUCAGCCUCCUGAGUACCUGGGACUACAGGCAUGUGCCACCACAGCCGGCUAAUUUUUUGUAUUUUUAGUAGAGACGGGGUUUCACCAUGUUGGCCAGGCUGGUCUCAAACUCCUGACCUCAGGUGAUUCGCCUGUCUCAGCUUCCCAAAGUGCUGUGAUUACAGGCGUGAGCCACUGCACCUGGCCAGAACAACUGUUUCUUGGGUAGGUUUUGGAUGGGGUUUCAGUCUGGUUCGUUAGCACCACCUGGUGGCUGAUGAUGUUGGUCACAUCUACUUCUUAACUGGAUGGUUGAUGUGUUUCUCUGUAGAAGCCAUGGUGCAAGAAAAAUUAAAUUACUUAAGGACACAUUCUUGCACAUUGCAUGUGCACAAUAGGUGCGGAAUGAGUGAAUGCCCUUGAAUUAUUUAUAUUUUGAAAGAAAGCAGGCAUAUGCAGAUCAGGUAUUUUGCCACAUUCUUUAAAGCUUUAUAUUUUGGGAAAGUUUAAAUACUUAUUAAGAGAGGAUAUAGGGAAAGUUAAAUACUUCAUCUCUGCCCUUGGGAAAUUUUCAGGCUUUUGGGAGUAAUAUAAAUCGAAAUAUUUAGUAAUAAAAUUAGUAAGCUGGUAGCUCUCAGACUAGCUGAUUAUCAGAAUCUUCUGGGCAGUUUUGCAAAUGCAGGCUCUCAGGCCGCUUCACUAGAGAUUCUAUUCAGGGGGUCUGGGGAAGGACCCAGGAACCUGUAUUUUUUAGCAGGCUCUCCUGUUAAUUCUGGGUGUGUUGGUGUGAACCUGAGCUGGAAUCAUCAGGGGUGGCUUCCUAGAGGAGAUGGGCCUAGAAUUGGCAUCCCUUUGCUUGGUGGUAGAGUCCCCACUGUGGGCCAAGUGUUAUGCUGGGGGCUGGGCCUCCGUGGUGAAUCACAUGUGGUUCUGGGCCACUAGGAGCUCAUGGUCUAAUGUGGAAAGUUUCCAAACAAGUAGUUACAGUUCAAUGAGAUUGGUGCCAAGAAAAGUAUAUGCAAAAUGAGUCCAGGUACUGAAGAGUCAGCACACGAUUUCCAGGGUGGAAACAUCCGAACCUCUCGCAGGUUUUUAGGGAGAGGAAGAGCUUGUAAGAGCACACAAAAGGGAAACAACAUGGUGCAUCUAGGGAACCAGAAAUAGUUUGGUAUGGCUGGAAUGUGGGGUAAAUACAGGAAAGUAGCACGGGACUGUGCUAGGAAGGCAAACAGGGACCAGACUGCACUCUGGCCUGAUAGCCAAGGGGAGUCAUGGCAGUGUUGUAAGCAGGUGAGCCCCCUGACUGCUGGCCUCAGGUGAAGGGUGGGGAGGGCUGGGCAGGAAGGGCAGGGCCUCUACUGAGGUGUUGUGUCUAUAGAGAAUGGAAAUGACGCCGGGCACGGUGGCUUAUGCCUUUUAUCCCAGCAAUUUGGAAGGCUGAGGCAGGUGGAUUGCUUGAGCCCAGGAGUUUGAGACCAGCCUGGGCAACAUGGCGAAAUGUUAAUUUCACCCAUCUAUACAAAAAAUACAAAAAAUUAGCAUAGCUGGUGGUGUAUGCCUGUAGUCCCAAGCAGGAGAAUUGCUUGAGCCUGGGAGGUGGAGGUUGCAGUGAGCCAAGAUCUCGCCAUUGCACUCCAGUCUGGGCAAUGGGAGUGAAACCUUGUCUCCAAAAAAUAGAGAGAGAAAAUAGAAAUUGAAAUGAGGUGCACUGGGCACUGAGGCAAGGCUCUGGGGUUGGAGCAGUUAGAAUGGUGUGCCUUUGCACAUGUCUCCCUUUCCACCAGGACAUUCUGCUGUGGCCGCUGGACUCUGGAGUCUGUGAUAGGCCUCUGCCAGGGAAGAUCUCUGGCAGUGCCCCUACACACCACUCCCUACUGUGCCUGCCUACCUAGAAGAUGACGUUUCUAGGUGGGGACCAGGAUGCCGUUCCACCCUCACUGCCUGUUGGGCCCUUCUCCCUGGGUUUGCAGUUUCCCUAACACCUGUCCCUAUCCCUACAGGAUGUGUGCCCCUGUGAUGGUGGAGCUGGAGGGGGAGACAGAUCCUCUGCUCAUUGCCAUGAAGGAACUCAAGUAAGUCACUCAAAUCAUGGUUCACUUCUCCAAAUCUCUGGGAGGCAUCUGUUGGGCUCUCUGUUGCACCCUUUGCUCCCACUUCCCUGGCUGGAGAAGUUUAUGCUUAUUCCUACAGAUCCUUAGGAACAGCUCACCAGGAAGUAGGAGGAAGAGAGAAGAGGAGGCAGGGAAAGUGGGAGGGCACUGAUGAGACACGGACGUCUUCUGGCUGUUGGAACUUCCCUGUUCCUGCUGCAGGAGUCCUUACCAAUAUUCUGUCAUUCUUCCCCCUCUUGUCUGAUAUAAAAACUUUCUUUUUCUUGUAAUUGCUUUCUUACAAAGUACACUCAUCAGCCCCAAGAGGCUGCUCCUAAGACUUCUCUUUGCUUGUGUUUUGCACACAAUCUGUUCCUUCUGCGGCAGAGCUGGGGUCACCAGCCCUCAUGUACUUGUGACUUCUCCCCUGCCACAGGGCCCGAAAGAUCCCCAUCAUCAUUCGCCGUUACCUGCCAGAUGGGAGCUAUGAAGACUGGGGGGUGGACGAGCUCAUCAUCACCGACUGAGCUGGAGUCAUCUUCCUGCCCUUGCCCCAUGCCCAAUUUUCAUUCUCACUUUAUAUGUGUAAAUAAUAAAAUAUUCAACUUUCCAACCCCCUUCCCCUCUGCUUAUCUGCAAUGUCACCACCUGUUGCUUCCCUGUUACCGCCAUGCUGCGUGGAGCAUGCACCUAUUCCAGUGGCCCUGUGACUGUCAGCUCCUUAAGAAGCACCAGGGGCCCUUAGCCCCUUUGGAUCCCCCACAUCCUUCCCUCCAUCUCCCUGUUCCCCAGAGCAAAGGCUGCUGCAGGGGAGACACCUCAGCUGCCUUCCAAGCAGACAGACAAGUCUUUGUGCCCAGGGAGCUGGUUGCCACGGAAACCCCCAAUUUCCUUUCCAGUGGGGACUGGCUGCAGGGGCUUCUCCCUUCUCAGGAGUAUCACAGAGCAGGUCUCAUCAAGCCACCCAUUGUUUCCUAAGGACCUGCUUCGAACCUCUUAUCGUGGGCUCGGAUCCCCUUUCAGGAGCAGUGCCCCAGCAGGAAGCGUGGGGGUGUGCUGAUCUCCCACCCUCCCCAGGCAGAGCCCUGCUGGGCAAGUCAGCAGCUGGAGCAAGGACCGAGCACCUGCCUACCCCUGCCCCCAUGGCUCUGUCCCCACUCCUCCUCAGGACUCUGCCCACACGCUGUCCUCUGUGGCCCACCUCUUUGGUGUGCCACACCCAUGCCUUCUUCCUAGCCUCUAUAACAUAUCCUUUCCCUCCUAUUUGGGGCUGGUGAUCCCCUGAGGCCUUGGGGAGAUGGUGCUGGGGUGGUGGUGCUCCUGGGUUCCAGGUGUUACAUUAAGUCAGAGCUGGAGCUCCCCCUUCCUCUGCCUGAGGUUCUAAUGGGUCCUCUUCCUUUCUCCACCCUGCUUACCCAACCUGACGUAAGACCAGUCACACUGGCUCCUCCCUCCUAGAGGGGGUCAGGGGGAGGGUGUAUAUUGACAUGAACAGGGAUAGAGGGUAAACUGGCUCCCUGAAUAUGCCAGCCUUCACCUCCAUUCCACUGCCAGCUCCCCUUCCAAGAGGAGGAGCUGGGCUUCCCUAACCUCUGCAGGAGGCAGGGCCUCCAGGCCUGGGUGCAGCCUGGCCCUGGGAUGGGGUGUGGGGAGUGAAUGGUGAGGAUCUGCAUUGGUGGGAGGGGUGUCUGCUGCCCUGGAGAAGGGUUAAUUCAGGGAGCAGUGGACUUCACACCCCCAUCCACCCUCCUCCAAGCCUGUGGAAUCCUUUAAUCAAGUUGGGUGCUGAAAUUUCAGCUCUGAAAUGCCGCCUUUGUGCUGGCAUCCAGGCAGCCGCCCCAGAGUGCGGGGGUCACUUUCUCGGCCCCAUUUCUCUAAAUGGUCUCUUUGUUCCCUGCUGGGCUGCUCAGUAUCAGAUGUGAUUAAAGGGAGAUGGGGUUUGGGCUGGGGAGGAGGGGAAUUGGGGGUUAACCCUUAGGGGAUAGAGUGCAAGGGAAAUGGGACAGAAGGGGUGUUUUUCCUCCUGUCUUCCUCUUCCCAUUCUCCUCUUUUGGGGAGUCCCCUGCUAUUCAGCUGUCUGGGCCUGGCUUUUGACUUCUCUUGAAUAAAAUGUCCCGGUCACCACUAUUGGUUCUGUUUUCUUAGGGUUUGGGCAUAGUCUCUUGAGUCAUUUCCAGAAACACCUGACCCUUUUUUAACAAGUGGAGCUCCUGCCUUCCUGAGGCCUGUGCACACUUGGAACCUUUGGUCUAAGGGAUGCACACAACCCAGGUCUUCUGACUUCCUUGGGGUCAUUUCCCCUCCUUCCACAUCCUCAGUGAUUUCCCACUCAAUCUCAUGAGAUGUGGGGUCUUGGAGGUGAUAGUGUCAUCUUCUGGAUGUGCCCCCUGCUCCCCACCGUGCCAGCUCCAUAUCCCUCAUCCCACUGCGAGCAGGAGUAGUGAACAGACCACAAAUGGACAAAAGUCCUGCCUUUCAAUGAAGGGGAAGGGGUGGGUUGUAAAGAUUAUAAACACAUAAGGUUAGUACUGAUUGAUCCAUGACAAAAUUCUAGAAUAGGUCCCUCCAUGUUUAAAAGUGCUUAUAUAAUAAAGAGGAGAUCGGGCGCUAGCAUAGGGUGUCUAAGAACCAAUAUUGCCAAAUAAGUGUUUUUUUCGAUGGUUACUGGUCCAGUAGGUUGAGGGAAUGCCAGAGAUCAGUGAAUCUUGAUUUUGACAAGGCAUCGGUAGUCUCCAUGCCACUGUGACAGAGAAGUGUGUGCUUCAUGGUGAUGUAAUUAGACAGUUUUAGAACUGAUUAGACAGCCUCAAGAGUGGAGAUAAUAGCUGGGCGUGGUGGCUCACACCUGUAAUCCCAGCACUUUGGGAGGCUGAGGUGGGCGGAUCACGAGGUCAGGAGAUCAAGACCAUCCUGGCUAACAUAGUGAAACCCCGUCUGUACUAAAAAAUACAAAAAAUUAGCCGGGUGUGGUGGCGGGCGCCUGUAAUCCCAGCUACUCGGGAGGGUGAGGCGGGAGAAUGGCGUGAACCCGGGAGGCAGAGCUUGCAGUGAGCCGAGAUCCUGCUACUGCACUCCAGCCUGGGCGACAGAGAGAGACUCUGUCUCAAAAAAAGAGUGGAGAUAAGAGGCCAGGUGCGGUGGCUCACGCCUGUAAUCCCAGCACUUUAGGAGGCCGAGGCAAGUGGAUCAUGAGGUCAGGAGAUUGAGACCAUCCUGGACAACAUGGUGAAACCCCAUCUCUACUUAAAAAAAAAAAAAAAAAAUUAGCUGGGCGUGGUGGUGCAUGCCUGUAGUCCCAGCUACUCAGGAGGCUGAGGCAGGGGAAGCACUUGAACCCAGGAGACAGAAGUUGCAGGGAGCCAAGAUUGCAACAUUGCACUCCAGCCUGGCAACAGAGCAAGACUCCAUCUAAAAAAAAAAAAAAAAAGAGUGGAGAGAAUAGGACUGACAGUGGAGAGAGGCGUUUAGUGCUGUACACAGGUGUCCCUCUUCAUUUCUACCUUUAUUAGUGACUUGAAUGAGGCUAUUCAAGUUUGCAGAUACAUAAAGCUCUAAAGGAGAGCUAAGUUCUAAAAAGUUUAAUACAGGUGGGGAAAUGGGUCAAACCCAACAAGGUGAGAUCUGUUAAAGAUCAGUGUAAAGUCCUGCUUUUAUCUAAAACAAAACAAAAACAGCAUACAUACAAUUUGGAUAUGACUUUGCAAUGGAUAUUGUCUAAAAGAUCGGGGUUUCGGUUACCAUCCAGCUUCACGGGAACCAGCAGUUUUGGGGAGGUUGCUUGAAGAGCUUCCAUGAUGCAGGUCCUAGAUGGAGGGAUUUUGGCCACCCUGGGGACUGGGCUACUUCUUGGUGCCCUGCCUCUCCCCUGGUCCUGACUAGGGGCUGGAGACCACAGAUGGAAGGAAGGAAGCUGAGGAUGCCCAGUCUGGAGCAGUGGAAGAUGCAUUGCUCCAGAUACAAAGCAGAAGUAGGGGCUGCAAACCACAGGCAGGUGGAGGGGAUGAUGGUUAAAAAUGCAAGCCUUGGAGUCAGAGCUGGGUUCAGAUUCUGGCACCAGCACUUCUUAGCAUCAACCUCGCAAACUUCAGUUUCCCCAUCUGGAAAAUUGAGAUAACGAUCGGACCUACCCCUUCCCUGGCCUGAAUGACAUAAAACCCUUGGUGGAGCACUUAGUAAAUGGCAGCUGGAUAUAAGCUGUUAUGAGCUGGGUAUGAGGAAGAACUUCCAACCAUCGGAGUUGUUCAUCAGUGGAGCAAGAUGGCAAAGAGUCCUUGGAGUUGUGUGCUUGUGAGGUGGAGUGGUCCUGGCCUCUGGGUGCAGUUUGGACUUCUGCUGAGGAAAGAGCUCUUAGGGAGUAGGCGCUUAAGGAGUAGACUGUCUGACAUCCUUGGUCUAGACUUGGACAGGGGCACCUGCUGUGAAGGCUUGGCUAGAUCCUGGCGUGGGCUGCUGUGUGUGUGCUGGGGGAGGUGGCAAGUGGGGGGAUGCAGCAACACAGGGCCUAUCCACACAUCCUGAAGGACAGGCCUCUGACUGCAGGCAGCACGGUGUCACCCUCAGCCCACCUCCUCCUCUUCAGAUACCUGUCUCUUGAAUUCUUUGCAAACUCCCCUCUGCUGAGUGCUGGGUGAGCAGAGGGGCUGCUUGCAAGGCAGUGAGUUCUAGCUGAGCCAGUUAAGAGUGAGUGGCCCCCCUGCAGUGUGGGGCACAGCCGGGCUGGGGAGAAGUUCCCAUCUGAGGCUUCAGUCCCUGAGCUCAGAUGGACCCCACUGGGAUGCCAGCUGUCCUAACACUCUCCAUUGUUCCCACUUUCUUAGCAGGGAGAGAGACAGAAAGAGAGAGAGGAGAGUGGGAGGGGGGAGAGAGAGAGAAAGAAAGGAGAGGGGGAGGGGGGAGAGAGAGAGAAAGAGAGGAGAGAAGGGAGGGGGGAGAGAGAGGAGGGGGGGAAGAGAGAGGAGGGGGGAGGGGAAGGGGGUGGGGAAAGAGGGAGGGAGGUGGGAGAGAGAGACCUUUGAUGAUCUGUCCUUUGCAUUCUACUCCUAGCUACUUCCAGAAAGCAUUUGAGGAAGCACCAGUACAGGGAUAAGAGAUGAAGAGACAGGCCAGGUCAGGCUCACCAAGCAGGUAACCGGAACCUUUAAUUUUAUUAUGUGGAAUGCUUAAUGCAGAGUUAAUAGGGGCUAGAGUGGCUAGGAGAGGGGACUACUGAGAUAAAUAACAGGAGACAGUAAUGAGUUACAUGUGGAUCUGGGGGGCUGCAGAACAGGAAAAUAGGGGCAGAUAUAGCUACAUACUUUAUUCAAAUACCACUGGGAGGCAAGGGGUAAGAGGCAAGGGCAGAAUGUACAGGUCAGGAUUCUAGUGUCUUCAGCCUGCUGAUAGCAACCUGGGUGCUGGGCCCUGUGUCUCCUGGAGCCAAGGGUUAGGGCCUGAGCAGCUGUCACUCUCUGGGAAGCCCAGGAGUGGGGCUGACUGAGCAGGGGCCAUAGAGCCUAGUUAGGGAAGAGGGAGCUGGCAAGGAGCCCAGGGAGGGAGGCUCUGUGAAUUGUCUCUGAUUCCUUUCCUGGAGCCCCUGCCUCGUCACCUCCUGGGAUGCGUCUCAAGGUCAUGGAGGUUGUAGUGGAGGAGGACUGGGGGCUGUUUCUCAGACAAAGAAUGAGGUUAUUGGCACAGAAUUGGAUCAGGGGGCCUCUGUGCCAACUCCUUCCUGCCUUCAGAAAGGGAGGGGGCAUUGAAGGGAUGAGAACUCCACUAAGUCCCUCGAACCCCCCACUCCCCAGUGAGGCUCCUCAAAGCUACUCUCAGCCCCUGAGUGGGAGACACGGCCAGCUCCGGGCACAGUCUCUGGGUGGCCUAGCCCUUAGGCACUGUGGCAUAGGUGGCAUGGGCAUGUCAGACCCUCACUAUCUGUGAGAGAGAAAACAGGAGUCAUAGGAGUGGUAAGGCCUCCGAUGCCACCAACCCUGGUGCUUCCCCUCCCCGAGGAGGGUGAGCAGGCCCUUCUCAGGUCCUGGGAUAGAGGGUCAUUCCUGGGGGAAGGUGCAGCCCCUCAUCUUUCAGUGUGGGUGCAACAGUCAACCUCCUUCUCCUCUGUCCAGCCUGUUCUCCUGGGGCUUUGCUGCUGGAGCCUGGAUGGGGCAGGUGGGUCAUCAGGGCAGUGAGCCAGACAGAAAGCCCCCCGACCUGUCAGCCUCUUCAGCCUCCUCAGCCUCCUCCACUGCCACCACCAGGCCUGAGGUGGGCAAGGAACAGGGCACACAGGCUGGGGGCAGGGGCUGGGCGGGGGGUGGUGGCGACAGGGCCCCCUUUAGGGCCGGGACAGCGUCGUAUAUACUGGCUGCUCCCAGUGUGUGGGGCUGUGGGACUGGGGCCCUGAGGGGCUGGGGUCAGAGAUGGCCGUGUAGAGGGGCCGCUGCGAGGGCCCCAUAUAGGAGAAGGCCGAGUAGAGGCCAGAGGCCUGGCCCGAGUGGCCGUAAUAGGGUCCUGAGGGCUGAUGGUCAGAGUAGUCAAACUGGGGGCGGGAGAUGGAGGGGAAGGCUGAGCCAUAGUGGGGCAGGCUGAGGGAGGUGUAGGCGAUCUGUGAGGUGGAUGGCUGGUCGGUGUAGUGUGGGGGCCCCUGGGGCCCCGCGGUCUCUGUCUUCACCUGGGCUUUGGCAUCCACACCAGGUGGUGAGACCGUGGGCAGAGCCACGCCUGGUGGCUUGGAGAUCCAGGCGGAGUGUCCACUGGCCACGGCCAGGGCGCUGCCCAGCCCAUAGCCGGCUGCUGAGUAGCUGCCCACGUGGCCUGGGUGCCCAUUGGGCGGCAGGUACUGGUCCAACUCAGCCACAUCAAAGGUCUCCAUGUUGGACAUUACCUCGUGGCUGAUCUCACCAAUGUCCACGUUGCCGAAGUCGAUGUGAGGCUUCCCGCCCUCCCCCAUGGAGCGCCCGUCCCGCUUCGGGUCUGCCUUGCCCGACUGCAGCUCUGUCUUCGGGGUGGUUGGAGGGGUGGGUGGGCCAUGGCUCUGGCCUGGGUAGAAGGGAGACAGAGAGAGAGAGCGCAAGGGGGAAGCAGGUUAGAGGCAGGUGGGCGCACGUGAACUUCCAUGGUUCACCUUCAGGCAGCGGGUGCCUCUGGGAAAACCUUGUAAGUUCACAUUUUGGCAGCAUGAGUCAGGGUUUUUUUUUUUUUUUUUUUUUUUGAGACGGAGUUUCACUCUUGUUGCCCAGACUGGAGUGCAGUGGCGCCAUCUCGGCUCACUGCAACCUCUGCCUCCUGGGUUCAAAUGAUUCUCCUGCCUCAGCCUCCUGAGUAGCUGGAAUUGCAAGCGCCCACCACAAUGCCCAGCUAAUUUGUGUAUUUUUAGUAGAGACGGGGUUUCACCAUGUUGGCCAGGGUUGUCUUGAACUGCUGACCUCAGGUCAUCCACCUGCCUCGGCCUCCCAAAGUGCUGGGAUUACCAGCAUGAGCCACUGCGCUCAUGCUGUUUAAUACUGGUGUCUUAGAUUGAUCUCUAGUUGUUUAUGAAAUUCUCAAAUCUUAGGGAUGGGUCCUGGGGAGGCCUGCCUCAUUCUGAAAAAACCUUUCCUGUGGAAAGUUCUUCCUCUCAUCAGCUUCUCUGCUGUCCAGGUGGUCUGGCCUGGCCUUUGCGCUCUGCCAGCCCCACUUCCACACCCAUGCCGACUGUCUUCCUUGCUGAGCCUCGCUCGCCCAGGCUCCUGAGUGCUCUGUUUCACCUUUGCUGGUUGCCUGGGCCUGCUCCCUGUCCUGGCCUCGUGUUGUGUCCUUUCCAACCCUUCCCUCCUCCUGAGCCCACCCUGCUUCCCAGCCCACUGGCAGGCCCUUAGCCCCGUCAUACGCUGGCCUGUGUUGCCCUGUUGUUCUUUGAGCUGCCUUCCUCCAUGGGAGGGCACUUAGAAAACUGGUCCUUGUUCCUUUGUCUGUUCACUUUCUUAUUCACAUAUUAAUUUAGCAAACUCUUAGGGAGCAUUACAAAACGCCAGGUGCUGUGCCAGGUGCUGGGGAUACUGAUGUAAAUAAAAUGGAUCCCUGUUCCCAAAAGCUCAUAGUCUAGUCAUAGAUCCAUAGAUCCACAUGCACCCAGAGUUGGAAGUGCUGUGGUGACAAUAUGCAAGGACUUGGGAGACCAGAGGAGGAGUCUACCCGCUGCCUCAGGGAUUUGGGGAAGGUCUCAUCGGGGAAGGAUGUCUGAGUGGGGUGGGGCCUUGAAGGGUGAGAAAAAGUCUGUGUCCAGUUUCAUUCUGAGGUGGUUGCUCUGUAUGUGGUCCAGGGUCUCCUGAUGUGUGUGUGUGUGUCCCUGAAUCUUUGAAGGUGAAGAGUAUGUACACGUGUGUGGGAGGGAUGACUGCCUGGCAUCCCAAUGGAGACAGAACAUGUCCAUGGUCUUAAGAGACUAGGAGCUCCCCAAGGACAGGCCUGUGCCUCCUUCAUCAGACCAGAGGCAGCGCCAAGUCCUGCAUUGGCCAAGGGCUCUGUACUUCAAGAGACCUGCCUAGGCUUUUGAAUCCUGGUUCUGUGUCUGGACAAAUCCCCAGUCUUCUCUUAACCAGUUUCCUUAUCAGUAAAAUAGAGAUUAUACCAAGCAGCCCAGGCAUUGCCUCUUUCUGGAAGCCUUCCUUGACAAGAGUCUGGUGGGCAGUGGGGUGUUCUUGGAGACCUGACUGGAUGGGAUAGACGGCCGUGCCACUUCUGGAUCUCACACAGACUUCUUGUGCACUUGUUUCUAUAUAUAUAUAUACUAUAUAUUUAGUAAGAGAUAGGAGGCUGGGCGUGCUGGGUCAUGCCUGUAAUCCCAGCACUUUGGGAGGCUGAGGUCAGGAAUUCGAGACCAGCCUGGCCAACAUGGUGAAAAACCAUCUCUACUAAAAAUACAAUAAUUAGCUGGGUGUGGUGGCGUGCAUCUGUAAUCCCAGCUACUUAGGAGGCUGAGGCACAGGAAUCGCUUAAACCCAGGAGGCAGAGGUUGCAGUGAACCAAGAUGGCACUGCUGCACUGCAGCCUGGGCAACAGAGCAAGACUCCAUCUCAAAAAAAAACAAAAACAAAAAAAAGACAGAGCCUUACUACAUUGCCCAUGCUGGUCUCAAACUCAUGGGCUCAGGUGAUCCUCCCACCUCAGCCUCCUGUGUAGCUGGGACUGCAGGCACAUUCCACCAUGCCUAGCUUUGUUUCUUCCUGUACUUAAUUCACUCAUUUUCAUCCCUGCUCCUCUCUCUAGACUAUGGGCCCCUGAGGCCAGGGACUGUAGGCUUCUCUGGUUAGUACCCCUGGUGUCCACUCCAGUGUUAGACACAAAGUAGGACUCAGAGCGUGUCCUCUGAAGGCAGAGCUCUGCUCACUGAGCACUUCCCAUGUGGCAGACCUGUGUGUGUCACUUUCUGUACAUUAGGAACACAGGCAAGGCAGCUGUGGUGCCAAGCAGAUGCCCUGGAGCCAAACUGGGGAAGUUCCUGUCUGUUUCUCAUCAGUAAAAUGAGAGUAACUUGCCACAGCUGAGAUCUGAGCCCAGGCAGUUUGGGUACCUCAUCACAUUGUUUGCAAUGAUUGAGUUAGUAUACAUAAGGCAACUAGCACCUAGCACAGUGCCUGGAACAGAGUAGGUGCUCAAUUAAGGUUAGCUGUUAUUAUCAUUAAUGAAAAUUAAACAAGAUAGCUUAUGUCUGGCCCAUCCAUUGCCAGACACGGUAUCACAUGCCAUGUCUCCUCUGUCAGAAUGGCUGGUGGGAUUUGGGAGGCCGAGGCGGGCAGAUUGCCUGAGCUCAGGAGUUUGAGACUGGGCCUGGGCAAUAUAGUGAAACCCUGUCUCUGCUAAAAUACACAAAAUGAGCCAGACGUGGUGGUGUGCACCUGUAGUCCCAGCUACUUGGGAGGCUGAGACAGGAGAAUUGCUUGAACCCGGGAGGAAGAGGUUGCAGUGCACCGAGAUCAUGCCACUGCAGCCUAGCCUGGGCGACAGAGUGAGACUCUGUCUCCAGAAAAAAAAAAAAAGAAUGGCUGGUGGGAAAGAGGCAGUGAUUUCCUCUCCUCCAUUUGCUCUUCCAUUUCUCAAAACCAUCCUGUCUUCUCCCCCUUUCCUUGUAACUGCCCCAGCCACCUCUCACUCCAUGACCUCCACAGAGUCUUUUUUUUUUUUCUUUUUCUUUGAGACAGAGUCUCGCUCUGUCGCCCAGGCUGGAGUGCAGUGGCGCAAUCCCGGCUCACUGCAAGCUCCGCCUCCUGGGUUCACGCCAUCCUCCUGCCUCAGCCUCCUGAGUAGCUGGGACUACAGGUGCUCGCCAUCACGCCCAGCUAAUGUUUUUGUAUUUUUAGUAGAGACGGGGUUUCACUGUGUUAGCCAGGAUGGUCUCGAUCUCCUGACCUCGUGAUCUGCCCUCCUCGGCCUCCCAAAGUGCUGGGAUUACAGGCGUGAGCCACCACACCCGGCGGCCUCCACAGUCUUUAACUGGCCCUCUUUGCCCAGUAGGAUCAGCCCCGGCCAGAGCCAUCUCACCCAGCCACUUCCCCUGGCACCGGAACCCCCAUGGAGCUCCCUCUGGGCCCCUGCAGCUCUGCUGGGGCAACUGCACAGCCUGGCACACUCUCCCUAGAGUCCAGGGUCUCAUUGCCAUCCAGCCAUCUCCUCUCUCCACUGACUGGCCUUGCCCCACCCUCAGCUCUGUCAUCAGCACUCACCUGAGGGGUGCUCGGGGUUCCCAUCUGACAUGGGGGAGCCCUCUCCUGGGUGCCGGUGGUCCAAGUGGGCGCUCUUGUAGUGGGCCUGGAUGGCGGCAGUCCCACCUUGCUCGGCCUCCCCACCGGGGCACUCCGCCUCGCCCUGGGCGGCCUUCCCGUUCUUCCGCCGCCUGGGCUGGUACUUGUAGUCCGGGUGGUCUUUCUUGUGCUGCAUACGGAGCCGCUCAGCCUCCUCGAUGAAGGGGCGCUUGUCACUUUCGUUCAGCAGCCUGGGGUGUGGUGGGAGGCGGAGAGGACAGCAGAGGGGCUGGCGUGAAUGCCAGAGCACUCCAGGUUGGCCUCCCUCUGAGUGUCCAUCUUGGAAGAUGUGAGGCCCUGGGAUGGGGCACCCAGAGGACAGGACCCGGGGUGGGGGCUGUGCCCUAUGAUUUGUGGACUGAGAGAUGUGAGGCCCAAGGAAUAACAGCCUCAGAGGGCUGCCCCCAAAUCUUUCAUGGGCUGGAGGGUGAGAGAGGGGUCAGCCCGCUGCUCCUGGCAGCCCCUGAGGAGGAGUUAGAAGUAGGAGUAGAGGUUUCAAGGGGCAGAUGCCAGUUCAAGGAAAGGAAAAACUUUCUCAUCAUCAAAGCUGUCUGCAAGUAGAAUUGGCUACUUCAUUGGGGGUGAGCUCCCUGGGACUGAGGGUGGGCAAUAGAAGCAGCAUGGCUGGGGGAGAACUCAGUCUCUGCUACUUACUAGCUGUGUGUGUGACCUUGAGCAAAUUACUUCUCUGAGCCUGAGUUUCUUCACCUAUAAAAGGAUGAUAACAUUGGCUUAACUUGGGUGUGGGAUUGGCCAGAAUAAUGGAUGUGAGAUGCCUUGCACCAGGGCCUGGGAAGCGGGCUGAGCACCUUGAGAAAGAGGUGCUUUUCUUUUUUUUUUUUUUUCUGUGAGGGAAUCUCACUCUGUCACCCACGCUGGAGUUCAGUGGUAUGAUCUCAGCUCACUGCAACCUCUGCCUCCCAGGUUCAAGUGAUUCUUGUGCCUCAGCCUCCCAAGUAGCUGGGAUUACAGGCAUGAGCCAUUGUGCCCAGCCCAAGAGGUACUUUUCUAUUUUUAAUUUUUUAUUUAUUUAGAGACAGAGUCUCACUCUGUCGCCCAGGCUGGAGUGCCGUGAUGCGGUCUCAGCUCACUGCAAUCUCGGCUUCCUGAGUUCAAGCGAUUCUCCUGCCUCAGCCUCCCGGGUAGCUGGGACUACAGGCACGCACCACCAUGCCCGGCUAAUUUUUGUAUUUUUAGUAGAGACGAGGUUUCACCAUGUUGGCCAGGCUGGUCUCCAACUCCUGACCUCAGGUGAUCCACCCGCCUUGGCCUCCCAAAGUGCUGAGAUUAUAGGCAUGAGCCACCGUGCCCGGCCCCAAGAGGUGCUUUUCUAAGGCUGCUUGUGGGGGUGGUUGGACAGGAGGAUCUAGGGUUGGUCUCUUAACUCUGGGUCCUGAUUGUGUGAAUUCCAGUGUGGUGGGACUGAGGGGGCAGAUGUGGCUCCUCUUUACCAUGGGUCUGGGCGGGGGGUACUGCCUCCUGUGGGGGAUCCUAUAUCCUUGUCCAGAAAAUAGCAGAGAGUAGAGGAAGCUAGCCUCUCCUCAGACCCUGGAACAGUCCCUGAAACCAACACAUGGAGAGAAGAAGCCCUGAAGCCAGCGCCCUUGCCACCGACUCCAGCCUCAGGCCAGGGUUGGAGGGUGGAGGGCAUUUAGGGUUUGGCUGCCCCAGGGUGCGGAGGGCAGGAUGGGGUACCUUACAGAGGGGGUCGAGGGGAAAGUCCAGAUUCUAGAAUCCCAGACCUUGGUACUGAGAAUCCAUGAGUCUUUGUGGGAGCAGCCUUGUCUGUCAGUCCAGAGGGCUUGUCUCUUCAGCUGCCCCACCCCUCACACCCCAGUGAGUGCCCUCUUCCCCCAGUCAGCAGAAGGCCGAGCCCUCCCUCCCCAGGCUGGGCGGGGGUGGUCAUGCCAGGCACCUCCUAGCCGGCAGCAGCAUUCCUCUGCGGCUUAGCCUCCCUGUCUACUCCCCCCACCCCGGCCCUGAGCCCAGCCCUAGCCCCAGCUUUCUCAGAGGGUCCCUCCAGCCGAGACUCUGUCAGAGUCAGUGUACACACUUAGGACAAAGAUGCUGGAGCAGGGCCUUGAGAGUCAGGGAGUGGGAUGUGGGCCUCCUCUCUGAUGGCUGGGACCAGGGGAGGGGGUGGAGCAGGCCUUGAGGGUGUGACUGGGGAGAACCCACAGAGGAGAGAGCUGCUCCGCCAGCAGUGGACCCCAGCAGAGGGGCUUCUGGAUGGCUGGGGACAUGGGACACAGAGCUCACUCUUUUACCUAUCCUUCCCUUGCCCCCUGCCCAGCUGGCAGCCAGCAUCAGCAAGAAAGUGACAGGGGCCAGAAGAGAGAGAGGAUCCCAACAUCGGAUUCCACUGCUACCUCCUAAGCUAGUUCCCAGCAUUAGCCUAACCCUGACAGAAAUCUAAGCCCGGGGCCACUGCCAUCCCCGACCCCAGCUCCCUCCUCCACCAGCUGUGCCGGACAGCUGAUUCCACCUCCACCCCAACCCCAAACCCAGCCUGCCCACCAUGUAAACCCAAUCUCCAGCACCAGUCCCCACUCAACAUUACCAGCCCCAAACCCCCAACGUCGCCUCCAGCUCUAACUCCAAACCCAGUCCUCAUUUGCACCUUCCUGUCAGCCCUCUUUCUCCCUGGUCUCCCAGGUUUGGAAUGGGGGCAAGAAGAGGUAGGCUGAUUCCUCACCCAAACUGGAAACCCCAACCGGGGACCUCCCACAGUGGGGCACUGAUUGCUGCUACAUGUGUCCUGCUAGGCCAGGGGCAUAAGAAGACUACUUGGGGAAGGGGCCUGUGGCACUGGGAACAGAGGCUGGGUGACCCCCACCACACAGGAGGGACUCUUGCCUGUGUCCGCCUUUCCAGUUUCUUGGCUCUGGUUCUUUCCAGGCAGAUCAGCCAACCCACAGGCACCACCCUGUGAUCAGCCUCUACUAGCCCCUCCCCAGAUGGGCAUCAAAGGUUAGAAUGACUGUUGGGGCUCACAUGGCCCCUUAGGACCUGGGCUCCAGUGUGUCUGAUCCCACACUCCCUUGGGGCACUCCACACAGUCUGUGUGUAUCUUUCUCUUUUUGGUUUUAAGACACCUGUUUUCCAGCUCUGCCCACCUAACCACCCCCCUUCUUGACAUCCCGGGAGUCACAGCUUGGGGAGGUUUCAGGAGAAGCCCCUGGAGCAAUUGGCCAGCCCAGCCCAAAUCCAAAUGUCUCUCAGGACCCCCCUCCAGGGUCCAGGGAGCCACCCUCUGUUGGCAUUGCCUUUGAUCCUUGCCAUGGUUCUGGCCCUGUCCUCCCAUUGGGAUUGGGUCCUCAGCAAGUAGUGCCAGUUUUCCUGACUGCCACACCUCAGGCUGGCCCCUGUGCACACAGCUUGAGUGAUGGCCAAGAAUAAGUCCUCCUGAAGGGAGUCCAAGCCCAGGGUUCUGGGCUGGGGGAACCUGGGCACAGGGACAAUGGAGGAGCCAAUCUUAAACCCUUGGCAAUGGGAGAUGGAGGGAAAAUGAGGUCCGUCCUUGCUUUGACUCUCGUUGGGCUUGUACUGUGGUCUUCUCAUGGUCCCCAGAGUCUGCCCUGUCUGUAUGUCUCUCCUGGUUGUCUGUUUCUCACUUGCUCUUUGUCCCCUGGCACUAAAGAUACUGGCCUGGGCCAAGCCCCACCCAGAUCUGGAUGGACCUUGGGUGGAGGAGCUAGCUGUGACCUCUGCUCUUGGGCAGAACUGGGCUGUCUGGGUCCACACAGCGGGCUGGUCGCUGAGCCCUGGGCCUGCCCUGGGUGAGCAGGGCACUGAGGGCUGAGAAGGGGCAGGGGAAGGGGCACCAGGUCUUCAGCAAACACAUGGCAAGAACAGGCCAGGGGUCGGGAUGUGAAUCUUUUGGUCUCUUGGAGAUCCUCCUGCACCUUCUACCACUCUAAGCCUCUAGACCCAAUCUCUACCCAACUGUGGCUGGCAAGGGGGAGGGCAGCGGAAGAGAGCCGGGCUCCUCUGACAAAGCCCUAAUUUUCUGGAACCCAGAUGCCCCUCACUCUUGUUCUCAUCUUCUUGCUUCCCCCCAACCUCCUGACCACUCCUCAAAGUGUAGGUGAUCCACCACUGUCACCAGGGUCAGGGGAAGUCCUCUGGACAGAGAGUAUGGGAGUCCUGGGUUCUGGCCCUGGCUCUGCUACCAACUUCUAUGUGACCUUUGUGAUUCCUUUGCCUUUCGGGGCCUGUCUCUUGGCCAGUCUAGCGAGAAUCAGGUGACUGCUACCGGCUCACAUCUCCUGGAGUCCCUGGUCUCUUUCAGAGCUGCUCUGGCACUCCCGGGUGGGAGUGGGGGACUGUCUUGUUCCACACAUCCCCAGGAGGCCUGGCUGAACCCCAGACCUGAGUUGAGGGUGGGAGAAUUGCUCCCUGCGGGGGAUGUUUUUCCUAGAGGUGUGGGCUGGUCCCAGGGAACCUGGGACGCUGAGGGCCCCUGGGCAGGAAGGGGGCCAAGGUUUCCUUCUGGCCAGAGUGCUCAGCUCCAGCUCUGGGGCAGUGGGGAAGAGGUUGCUCAACGUUGGGGUGGGGCCCUGGCAGGGAAGAUGGCGCCGAACUGGGAGAGGGAGGAAAGAGAUCAGCUUGGUGACUCUGGGGCAGGGCAGGAGGGGGAGCCCCUUACUGUGUGUCCUCUCCCUAGGAGGGUGAGGAAGCCCCCAACUCAAAGGAGGGUGGCGUCAGAAAGUCCCAGGGAAGAGCCCUAGGAUAGGAUGAGAUCCUGCAGCAGCAGAUUUGUCCCGCAGUUCUUCAUCCCUCACUCUUCCAAAGACUCUCAUCUGAAUUCCCUGUUUUCUUUAAACCUCCCGAGUUCUCCAUCUGACUGCCUCAGUUUCCCUGAAUCUCCAGCCAACCCUUUGGUUCUUUCCAAGCGUUUCCCUCGUAUCCUCCUGACCACAGCAGCUGGUGGCAUAGUGUGCGUAUCUGUGGGCAGGAGUUAGUGAAGGCCUCCUUCCCUCCCUCCAAAGCCCCAGGCCCCACGGUCUGCCACCCGCAAAAUUCCAACCACGAGGGGGCGCCUUCCUGCCCGCCGCCCCGUAGGGAGACCCGGCCUAGGCCGCUGGAGUUCCGAGUUCCAGGGUCCUUGUGAUGGAAGGGCGGGCGCGGCCCCCACACCUGGUCUUCCAGCCCUCUCCAAGGAGGACUGCCAGACAGUCCCGCUCUGAGGUGCAGGAGGCCGGGCCGCCUCGGCUACCCUGAAUCCACCCGAAGCUAGAGGGCCCGAGCCCGGGGGGCGGUCGGGUGCUCACCUCCAGAGCUUGCCCAGCGUCUUGCUGAGCUCAGCGUUGUGCAGGUGCGGGUACUGGUCCGCGAGCUUCCUGCGCGCUGCCUGAGCCCACACCAUGAAGGCGUUCAUGGGCCGCUUGACGUGCGGCUUGCUUUUGCUGGCGCCGUUGACGCGCACGGGCAUGGGCACCAGCGUCCAGUCGUAGCCGCUGAGCACCUGGCUGACGGCCUCGCGGAUGCACACGGGGAACUUGUCAUCGUCCGCCUCGCCGUCCUGCUGCUCCUUCUUGACCUUGCCCAGCUCGCCUGGCCCCGGGCUGGCUCGCAGGCCUGAUCCGCCGCCGCUGCCGUCGGGCCCUAGCGAGGGCGCGCUCCCCGGGGACAGGCAGCGGGGCUCCUCCGAGCCCACGGGGCUCAGCUCCACCUCCGAUAGGUCCUGCUCCUCCGCCAUGUCGCCCCCGGCCGCCGCCGCCGCCGCCUCGGCCGCCUCCCCCGGGCCAGCCGCCGGGGUCCUCGCAAAGAGUCCAACGCCCACCUGAAUGGAAGGAGGGCGCGAUGGAGCGGCCGCGCGCGCAGCCCCGAGGGCGGCCCGAGACACGACGUGGGCACAGCCCCGAGGUGGCGGCCCUUCCUGCUCCAGCUAAACCCAUCUGGCCCCUGGGGCCCACGCACAUGCCAGACUCUAGGUGGGUGCGUCCCGCCUCUGCGUCUUCCCACCACCUGGUCCCAACCGUCUCUUGGUGUGGGUGGCUUUUUUUUUAGCCUCCUUUUUUGGGUGGAGGUUUGUUGAUGAUAAGAAAGAAAAAAACGGAGCCUUUAUUUUGCUCUAAUCACGGCCCCUGGAAUUUCCCACCUUUUCUCUCACCUUUCCUUCUUCCCUCAGCCUGCCCCAACGGGGUUUAGAGGAGAGCCAGGUUGGGGGCAAGGGCGGGGUGUCGCCUCUCUCCACCUCACAGCAGGGUCCCAGGCCUGGGCGGGCCAGGGAGGAGCAGGCUGCGCACUCACCUCCUCGGACCUCUCCUCCAGUCUGGGGCUCGUCCUUAGGAAGUGGAAAACCGUGUCCCAAGGUGUGCGGUCCAGCUCGGGGCUGGGAGGUGACGCUGGUGGGCUGGGAAGGAGGGGCGGGGGGCCCUGAGCCUCAGGCCACGGCCUCGUUAGGACGGAGCCUGAAUCCUUACCACCAACCACCCUGGCCGGACAGCCCGAGACUGACUGAGCGACUGAGCCGCUGCGGAGGGCUGGGGAAGGAAGGAGGGGGAGAGGGGGGAGGGGAGAGGAGGGAGGGAAGGGCAGAAGGUGGAGCCUCCAGGCUUUCCUUCAUCCCCAACACUCAGGGCUCCUCCACCCGGAGCCCAGGCCCCCCCACCCAGCUCCCUGCCCUACUGCCCAGGCCCAUCUUGCUGAGGCUUAUCUUGGGCUUAGUCUGGGAGGUGGAGGGGAGGUUAGGCCGAGGAAGGAAGAGAUGUAGGCUGGAGGGUCAGAACCUGUUGGAUGGAAGAAAAUUGGGCCCAACCAGGACUCCUAACGUCUGCCUCAGGUGGCAGGAUGGGCACUUGGCAGGGGACUAGGGAGAGACGUGAAGGCGGUGAGGGUCCUGUGGGCCCGUGAGGGUGGCUGGCCCGAACUGCUUCGUCUGCGAAAUCCUGUUGAGUGCCUAGUGUGUGCCAGGCACUGAUGCCCAGCUCCUCACCCUGCCUCCUACCUUUUCCUAGGCAGCCCUUUCUGCCCCGUCCUGCACAGUAAGAGAGACUGCUCAGGGAUCCCUCUGAGAAGUGCAGAGCCCCAGCUUGACCCCUGGUCCCUUCUCUGCAGACACCCAGCACACGCACGUUCUGGUCUGGUUCAAGGUGGAAACACAAGACUAAAGCUGCCAGGAGGCCAAGGUGGGACAGGUUGGGGGCCCUCUCUCAGUAGGUCUUAGAGGCAUUUUGGGUUGCUACCUCCUGGGACCCAGCUCCUUCCACACUGGGCUCACCCUGUCUUGGGAGAGGGUAGGGGAGUCCUAGUCCUGAUUGUCACGAAGUCCUCUACUCCCCCACCCCAACAAGGGGUGGGGACUUGCCCUGCCUCUUCCCUCCUCUGCCCACCUCUCCCUCCCUCCCCUUUUCUUUCCUGCCCAUCCUCCGUUGACACCUUUUCCUCUCUCUUUCCUUGGCCUCUCCUCCAAAGGUCGCAGUGCUGUUCUCUUAACUGAGGGCAGCCCCGCCGGGGUGUUGAGGCCGAGGUGGGGUGUAUGUGGGUUAUGUAAUGGAGCUGGGGCCGCAUUGGCAACCAUGUGACGUUCUGAGCUCCUCAACAGCAGGGCAAGGCCUCAAGCCCACCCCAAGGGGUCCUGUCUGGAGUGGGCUGCAAGGGGUCUGGGGAGGCAAGGCCUCAUGCUUGGGAAAGGCCAAAGGGGUGUAGGGGGUGGGAAAUGGGACACAAUGAGGUAGUCACACGAGGCAGAGGCAUGUUGGGGGUGGGGGGAGCGGACACUGGAACACACACACACACACACACACACACAUGCUCACACACACAACCAGCCAGACAAUCGGGCCAGUGUGUCUGGGGCCUCGGAGCCCAGUGAAUUAGGAGUUUGAUAAGGGUUUUCUCUUUCUCUCGCUUGCUGGCCUUGGACAAUCUCCCCCCAGUUUUCCUCGACGCCACCCCCGGCGCUGCCAACCCUCCUCCCCCCGCCUCCCUUCUCUUCCCUGUGCCCAGACUCUUGUUCGGGGCCUUGAAACAGUGAGCUGUCUUUGUUCGAAAUACAGGUGAACGGCAAUCAUGUGAUUAACACACACACACAUAAAAAGCUUUUUAACAGCGCCCGCUCAGCCUCAGAACCGCCCGGAGAGGAGCCGCCCUGGAUGGACAGAGGGACGAGGGACGAGCAUCUGCCGUCGUGUCCCGGCUGCCCUGCAGUCGCCUCCAACACCCGCUGCUGCCCGCCCGCUGCCUGCCUGCCUGGCAUCUCUCUCUCCCGGUGGGUCCCCACUCAUCCUUCCACCCCUCAGUUCCUCCUCUUUGAGGAAAGGACCUCCCCGCUCUCUGCUGUGUCUGUGACUGGCCUGAGACCCGCCUGGGGCAGGAGGGGUGGUUGUGGAGGGAAAGAGCCCAGAGUUAGGAGGUGGAAUGUGGGGUCCCACAGCUGCCCCCUCUCUAACUCCCUGCUUCCUCCUUUGCCCUCCUUGGUCCAGCUGUGCCAGGAUGGGGGUGGGGGUAGCAGUGGGCACGCUCUGUCUGCAGGAAGCCACGCUAGACAGAAGGGGCCACUCCCUCUCUCUCGCCCUUGUCCCCGCACAGACACUGCCUUCCUCUCAGGGCUGUGCUGGGCUUUUUGCUGAGCAGUGUUGGGUGAGGCAGGUGGGCCUGCAGGGGGGGUGGGAAGGGCUGUCAGAUGACCAGUGCUGUGUGUGUGGUUGGGGCCCCUGCUGCGAACACAUCCCUGCCAUCCCAUCCAUCCCCUCCAUCCCAUCCCAGGCCCUGGGAACCCAGUGUUCUCCAGCAGGCAAGGGUGAAGGACCCACAGUCAUUCCUGAAGAGCAGGGAGCUUGGAGAGGGGAGGGAUCCUGGCUGAAGACACCUGGGCCUCUGCCCCAGCAGGACAACAGGAGGGCCAGUGUCACCUUCUCCUCCUUUCCCUGCUGGGGGUGGCAGGGGUCCCUUUACCCCCUCAUUCUUGACCCUUCUUCAGGGAUGCUUGUGACCUCCUUACCCCACCCCCCAUCACCUCUCCGUCCUGAAGUGAGGGUUUGUCACCGUCCAUGGCAAGGUGUGGUGUCUGGUAGGCUCUAUGACCUGCCCUCUCUCAGGGUGUUUAUUCUGCAGCAGAGAGGGGUCUGCGGUCUGAGUGUAAUGGUGGAAAUCCAGGCUUCCUUCCAUGGCCCAAGGAGGCCUUUCCGGAGCAACAGGGUUUUCCUGGGACUCGGCCUGGCUUUUGUUAAGGCAGGUCCCGGAUUUACUCAGAAGAUGGGCCCCAGAGAGGAGGAGAGGAAAGAAUACCUGUCAGUCAAACGUGAAGCCCACUGAUGACACUGCCUGGCAGAGCUGCCUCCGGUCAGCAGUGACCCUUCACCCCCCAGCUCCCAAGUCCUCUUCCUGAGGGAGCUGGUCCGGCUUUAUGGAAGGCUCCGCCUGUGUUCCCCACCCUGGGUCCCUGGUCCCUCACCUGUCACGUGGGGCGAUGGUCACCCUCCCUCCCUGCCUGCCCUGCAGGAUACACUGAGAUGAAGGUCAGGAAAUCUGCUGGCUGCAGAGCCAGGGGCCAUGCAGAAGUGAGGGAUGGUCUGGUCAAGUUGAGGCUCUGCCCCAGCCUCAGUUUCCCCACACAGGCAUGAGACUGUCUUCCUGACUUUCAGAGGACAGGGCUGAGAUGGGAUGAGGGAACACAGGGAAAGCGUUUAGCACCUCUGAGUGCUGUGUGGAUGCGACCUGGGGGGUCCUGGCCAUCCACUAUUUAAUUCUAUCUGGACUGUGCACCCUCCUACCUCCAGUUUCCCUGCGGGGGCCUUUCACAGGGCCUGGCUUGCGGAUACGGGGUUUGGCGUAGGGCAGUGCUUCUCAAAUGGGAAGGCGCACUGAGAUUCUUCAGGUUGGGGUGGGGCCUGAGGUUCUGCAUGUCUAAUCAGUUGCCUAGGACUGGCUCUAAUUCUUGUUGAAUUUAGAAUCACUUGUGGAGUUAAGAAAAACAUAGUGGGCCUUGGUUGGGUGCGGUGGCUCACACCUGUAAUCCCAGCACUUUGGGAGGCCAAGGUGGGCAGAUCAUGAGGUCGAGAGAUUGAGACUAUCCUGGCCAACAUGGUGAAACCUUGUCUCUACUAAAAAAAAAAAAAAAAAAAAAUUAGCUGGGCAUGGUGGCAGGCGCCUGUAAUCCCAGCUACUUGGGAGGCUGAGGCAGGAGAAUCGCUUGAACCCGGGAGGCGGAGGUUGCAGUGAGCUGAGAUUGCACCAUUGCACUCCAGCCUGGGCAAAAAGAGCGAAACUCUGUCUCAGAAAAAAAAAAAAAAGAAAAAGAAAAAAAGAAAAACAUACUGAGCCAGGCGUGGUGACUCAUUCCUGUAAUCCCAGCACUUUGGGAGGCCGAGGCGGGCAGAUCAACUGAGGGCAGGAGUUCGAGACCAGCCUGGCCAACAUGGUGAAACCCCAUGUCUACUAAAAAUACAAAAAUUAACUGGGCAUGGUGGCACGCACCUGUAAGCCCAGCUACGUGGGAGCCUGAGGCAGGAGAAUCACUUGAACUCAAGAGGCAGAGGUUGCAGUGAGGCGAGAUCGCACCACUGCACUGCAGCCUGGGUGACAGAGUAAGACUCUGUCUCAUAAAAACAAACAACAACAACAACAACAACAACAACAAAAAACAUACUGGAGCCUAGAUCCCACCCCAGAGUGGUUGAUUCUGAAUUUCUGAGGCUGAGGUACAAGCAUAAAGUUCCCUGGGAGGUCUUCACAGAGUCUCUGGAUCCCUGAGGCUGUGAAUGGCCCCCUUCCAGAGCCAAAAUCACCAGGGAUGGAGGAGGGGUCUUGGACCCACCAGCCAGGCAGGUUAUACUGGGGUAUCCGGAGAGCUUUGGGGUGUGGCAGGGGAGGGCCUAUGCACUGGGAAGGUGGAGGGCUGACGGGCACAGGUUAGUGGUCGAGGGCAGCGUAGUGACAGACAGAAGCUACCCUGCGGGUCUUCAGCCGAGUCUGAGUGCGCUGGGGUGGCUGUGGGAGCUCCCCUGAACGUUUUCUAGGCCACCUCCACCUUUGGUUAAGGCUGUGUCAUCCUCAGUCUUGGAUGUAGUGGAAAGUGACUUGAAGUCAAGAAAUCCUGCCACUAGUACCCAAGGGGCCUUAGGCAGAUCAUGCUAUUAACCUCUCAGGACUCGGCUUUUGCAUAUGUACGAUGUUGAUAAUCUUAUGCACCUUUGAUAUCCCCAAGUGAUGAGAGAAUUAUAUAAGAAUACACACACACAUCUCCCCUACCUAGCACAGUGACUGCUCAAUAAAUGUGAAUCAGAGGAAAUCAUUUAGCUAUUAGGCCAGCACUGGGAGGUGUGGAGGAUGCUCACCUCAGGUCAAGUGCACAAGUAUUAACCGAGCAGCCACCACGGCCUCACAGUCAGGAGUUUAUCAUUUGCCUUUUGAAUCCUAAUGUCAGACCAGGUGGCAUUCCUGCUUGGGAUGACAAGCUCCUCUGUCAUGGGUGGGCCUCCUCUGCCAUGCCCCUUAACAGCGCAGGCGACACUCUAGGGCCUCCCCAGGUGCCGGCUCAGCUGUGAGGGCUCCUGUCAUCGGACUUCAUCCUCCCAACAACCCUCUGAGUAGAUGCUAUUAUUCUCAUUUUAGGGAGGAAACUGAGGCACAAAGCGAUUCAGUGACAGGCCUGAGGUCGCCCAGCAAAUGAUGACAGGGUGUGGACUGGGACCUGUGGUUGGUCCCAGCCCAGCCUCUGACCACUCUGCUCUAUUGCCCCUAGGCUGCAAGUGCAGCUGCAGGUGGGCCUGCUCCUGCCUCCUCUCCUUGCCUGGGCCUUUGGGCCUGCUCCGUCUUCCCCUGGAGCGCUGUCCUCCCUCUGCCUGCUGGCGGUCUAGGCACUGCUGCAGCCCCACUGAGAGGUCCUCUUCCAGGACACACCUUGGGCACCUUGGUUGGAAUUCUUUUCCCUAUGACUUUCCCUCAGAGGAGGAGACACCUUCAGAUGUGCUCUGCCUCCUUACUGAACAGCCUGGAGGACAGGCCAGUCUCCAGUUCCUAUUGGGAGCCCCUGAGGCCAUGCUCAGCCUCGGCUCACCUUCCCUGAGCCGAGUUGCUGUCAGAGUUCCAAGGAGGAAAAGACCAGGGAGGCUGGAGCGGGCAGGAGUGGCUUCCUGGAGGCAGAGGGUCUGAGCUCUGGGGGAGGAGGAUGGCAUUCCAUGGCCUGUCCCAACGGGGGCUCUUGCCCCUCCCUGUUUCUGGUGCAAGCAGAGGGUCUCGGACCCAGGCCAGCAAGGCAGCUCCCGGGGUUGGAAUCUUCCUUCGCUCCCAACUCCAUCCUUUCUGGAAACCAGGAAGCUGGGGCCAGUGUCCAGCUCUGCCUCUGGCAGCCUGGCCUCUGCUCUCUUCUGAGAAGCCUUCAGAGAAGUUGACUGCCCAUUCCUGCCAUCUGUCCCCAGCUGCUGGAACGCCCUUCCUGGCGUCUGCCCUGAGCCUCUCCAGCUGCUGGGAACUUCUGUGAAUGUGUCCUCUGUGCAGGGCACUGGGCCAGGAGCUGGGACUGGGAGGUGAGAGAGACCAGACCUUGGCUUUGAGGAGCUGAGGGUUUGAUGGGAGAGACCGAUGUAGAAACCUGGAACCUGGCACAGCCAAACAGGCAGCUGGAGCUGGGCCUCUGGACCCCAAGAGCUGGGGUCAAGACCCAAUGGCUGUGGAGGCCCUGUGUUGCCUUGGCAACCUUCUUCCCUCUCUGGGCCUCAGUCUCCCCAUCUGUAAAAUGUAAAAUCAGCAGGCUAGCUGAUCUCUGAGAGUGUUUCCAUAUUUGAUAACCCGUGAAUUGUAUUUCAAAACAAGAGGCCCGUGCCUGAUCCAGUGUUUGCAAGGUGAUGCCUCAGACCCUUGGUGUUCCUCAGGACACUGAUAGGCAUCUCUUGAAAGACAUUUGGGAAACACUGCUUUCUGCUUCCUCUUUUUAGAGAUGUAAGGGUGGGACGUGGUGGUUCACGCCUGUAAUCCCAGUACUUUGGGAGGCCAAGGUGGGAGGAUUGCUUGAGUCCAGGAGCUGGAGACCAGCCUGGACAACAUAGUGAGACCCCCGUUUCCAUUGUUAUUAUUAUUAUUAUUAUUAUUACUAUUAUUAUUUGAGACUGGCUCUGUUGCCCAGGCUGGAGUGCAGUGGCGUGAUCUGGGCUCACUGCCACCUCCACCUUCUGUGCCCAAGCAAUUCUCCUCCCUCAGCCUCCUGAGUAGGUGGGACACUACCGGCGCAUGCCACCAUGCCCGGCUAAUUUUUUGUAUUUUUAGUAGAGACGGGGUUUCACCAUGUUGGCAAGGCUGGUCUUGAACUCCUGACCUCAGGUGAUUUGCCUGCCUCAGCCUCCCAAAGUGCUGGGAUUACAGGUGUGAGCCACUGCGCCUGGCCACCAUUAUUUAAAAAAAAAUUUUUUUUUAACUGUUUAAGUAAAAGAGAUGCAUUGCCUCUAAGCAUGCUAAAAGUUCUAAAUUCUGCAGUUAAAAACUGCUCUUUAAAAUAUUUAAUAUGAAUCUUCAAUUUAUUAUUCUGUUAUUUUUACCACCUAUUAACAUCUUGUAGAGUUUUUGAUGGAAACCAGUUUCACCCUGUUCUGGAGAGGACAUAGUUGCCUGAGGUGGACGUGGAGGCACCAUGGCCCCUGAGUGAGAUGUGCAUGUUCCUUACUUUGGGGUCACCCUGCCUUGGUUUCCAACUCCGUUCAGACCUGUUUGACGUGUACCAGGUGACUACUCAGUGUCAGGCCAGGGAAGCAGCUGAAUAGAAUAUGGCACUGACCCCCAGUUCCCUGUGUUCCCAUGCCUUCAGAGUUCUCAUUGUCUUGCAUUGUCCCUGCUGGGGUGUGGACUUGAGGGCUGGGUCCUUCCCGCCUCCUCCGUGGUGCCUGUUACAUAGGAGUAACGUCAGCAGAUGAAGGGCUUGCAUGGAAGAGAAUGUGUGCAGGCAGCAUGUGGGGAAGGAAUGAGCAUGCGCUCCUGAGUUAGACAGUCCAGGUUUAAAAAAACAUUGUUAGAGAUGGUGUCUCAAACUCUUGGGCUCAAGUGAUCCUUCCACCUCACCCUCCUGAGUAGCUGGGACUAUAGGUGUGUGCCACCAUGCCUGGCUCUAGCUCCAGGUUUGAAUCCUGACACCUCCAUUUAUUAGCUGUGUGUCCUUGGCAAAUGAAUUAAGGUCUCUGAGUCUCAGCUUCCUUCCAGGUUGUGGUGAGGAUUAAAGCAGAUAAUGUAUGUAAACACUUAAGACAGGGUCUGGCACAUGACGGAACCCAGUAAAUGGUAGCUAUUGUUACCAGCAGCUUGGGGAUCUGCCGCCAAGGUGGCUGUUGGUUGACCUUGGGUUUAGAGUAGUCAUUGCUGCUGCUUUUUUUUUUUUCUAGACAGAGUCUCACUCUUUCACUCUGUUGCCUAGGCUUGAGUGCAGUGGUGUGGUCUUGGCUCACGGCAACAUUUGGCUCCCAGGUUCAAGCAAUUCUCCUGCCUCAGCCUCCUGAGUAGCUGGGAUUACAAGUGCACAUCGCCAUGCUUUGCUAAUUUUUAUACUUUCAGCAGAGACGGAUGGGGUUUCACCAUGUUGCCCAGGCUGGUCUCAAACUCCAGACCUCAGGUGAUUCGCCCGCCUCGGCCUCCCAAAGUGCUGGGAUUACAGGUGUGAGCCACCGUGCCCGCCCCCCGGCUAAUUUUUAUAUUAGUUAUUGCUUCUUAUCCUGUCAAAAUGCUGUCAUCAGAUGUUCCCCGUCUGCUCCCAGUCACCACAGAGGCUGCAGAGCCAGGGCCGAUGGCCAUCCAUGGAACCAAAGCAGAAGGGGAAGCAAGUGACUGAGCUCACAUGACUGUUUAGUCAUGGAACUGGACAUGUCUGCUGUGACAUUUUGUUCCCGGGGUUCCUGGGGACCUACCCUAGGCAAGCUCCUGCUGUCUGUGGGGUAAAUAAAGAGGGGUGAGUGUGCCCCUUGUCUUUAGGGAGCUUGUUCAUUCAUACAUGUCUAGACACUAGGCAACAUGGUGCAGACAUGCAUGAGGAUUAAGAGAGUGGGGAAGGUGGAGGGAAGGAAGAGAGGGGGCAGAGGGGACCUUUAUGAGAUGGGUCCAUUGGUGUUGUCCCUGGAGCGGAAAAGAGCUGUCUGUAAAUAUGGUCUGAGCAGGGUGGGCUGCACAUGGCUCAUGAGACCUUUGUCCUUUCACCACUGGCAGGCAGCUGGCAGCUUGGGGGAAGGGGCUUGUCAAGGUUGCCCAGCUUAGGAACUGACAACGGGACCAAGUCUUCUCAUUCCAGAUUCCUUGUCAUUUUCCUCUGUGAUCUAGGCCACUGCCCCAGACCAGGGCUGGGCAGGAAGGGAGCUCAGCCCACCCAUCUUCCUGCUCUCACCCGGUUUACUGCUGUCCCUUAAAGGUAAAAAUGGGGUGAUCCAGUCAGAAUUUAGUGUUUGUCUGAGCUUGAAGGAUCCUCCUCGCCGACAUAAGGUUUCCUUAUUCUUCGCUGAUGUCACUUGUUAAUGAAAAUGGGAGCCGAGUGAUGAUGAGCUGAGCUGGGGAUCCAGAGACCAGAGUUCAAGGCUGGCCCUUGCCCCAUUUACCAGUGAGAUUGGGAUAAGCUAAGUAACCUUCCCAUGCCUCAAUCUCCUGUCUGUAAAAUGAGAAUCACGAUACCUGCCAUGUCACAAGGAUAAAAAGGGCCGGGCACAGUGACUCACGACUGUAAUCCCAGCACUUUGGGAGGCCGAGGCAGGUGGAUCACGAGGUCAGGAGAUCGAGACCAUCCUGGCUAACACGGUGAAACCCCGUCUCUACUAAAAAUACAAAAAAUUAGCUGGGCAUGGUGGCAGGCGCCUGUAGUCCCAGCUACUCAGGAGGCUGAGGCAGGAGAAUGGCGUGAACCCGGGAGGCGGAGCUUGCAGUGAGCUGAGAUCGCGCCACUGCACUCUAGCCUGGGCAACAGAGCAAGACUCCGUCUCAAAAAAAAAAAAAAAAAAGAAGUAAGGAAUGGCAAGUGCUCAGCCUAGCACCUUUGACAAAAACAAGACCUAGUAGUUGCCUCUUUCAGUCAUUUCAACUGCCAGUUAAUGCCCCGCAUUUUCCAGGUGGGAUGGCUUAUGUCUUGGCUAUAAUCAAGCCCGGGAAAACCUCUUCCCUUUCUAGGGUGCAGAGUUGAGCUUACUGAGAUCACAACAGGGAACCCAGGCACAGCCCUGGGGUGUGUUCACAUGUCAGGGGCUUCCGUUCACACAGGAAGUAUAAUAUUUGCUAGGCUGCCAGGCUGAGGGCCUCACACACACGCACCCCAGCUCACCUUCAGCUGUGUGUGCUUCACUGUGAGCAGGUGUUAUUUUGCUUUGUGUUGUUUUUGAGACAGGGUCUCACUCUGUGGCCCAGGAUGGAGUGCAGGGGUGCCAUCACGGCUCACUGCAGCUUCUACUUCCCGGGCUUAAUCGAUCCCCCACCUCAGCCUUCCAAGUAGCUGGUACCACAGGCACCAGCCACCACGCCUGGCUAUUAUUUAUUUAUUUAUUUAUUUUUGAGACGGAGUCUCUCUCUGUCGCCCAGGCUGGAGUGCAGUGGAGUGAUCUCGGCUCACUGCAAGCUCCGCCACCCGGGUUCAUGCCAUUCUCCUGUCUCAGCCUCCUGAGUAGCUGGGACUACAGGUGCCCACCACCAUGCCUGGCUAAUUUUUUGUAUUUUUAAUAAAGACGGGGUUUCACCGUGGUCUCCAGCUCCUGACCUCAUGAUCCGCCCGCCUUGGCCUCCCAAGGUGCUGGGAUUACAGGCGUGAGCCACUGCACCCGGCCAAUUUUUGUAUUUUUUUGUAGAGACAGGGUUUCACGAUGUUACCCAAGCUGGUCUCAUUGAACUCCUGAGCUCAAGCUAUCCUCCCGCCUUGGCCUCCCAAAGUGCUGGGAUUAUAGGUGUGUGCCACCUGCACAGGUGUUUUAUAUUUACCUCACCUCUCUACCAGGUGGCAAAUUGAGACAUCAGAGAGUUUAGGGCUUAGAACCCAGAGUUGAAAUCGCAGUGACUGCUUUGGCAGGUGCAAUGGGAGGAGCUGCUCCCGACUCUGCCAAGGUCCCAGCUCCUGCUGUGUGAUCUUGGGGAAGCCAGCCACCCUCUCUGGCACAUUCUCCAUCAGUGCAUUGAGGGAGCUGGCCUCUGACAUCUAUCAGAUUUGCUAUCAGGGGCUUUAGGGCUCUACUGAGACAGGCCCACAUUUGCUUUUGUUUCCCACCUUUUGUCCCCCAAGUGCUCGGGGUUGGACAUGUGAGCACACAGCAGAUGCUCAAUAAGUGCUUGCUGAACCUCAGUGAUCAGAGAGAUAGCUUGGCAGGUCUGUCUCCUGGGUCUGUCAUUCCCUUAGCACUGCGUGGGGAGUCCCCUCACAUCCUUUCCUGCUGGGGGACCUCCUCCUGGGGGAUCACCUAAAGCUCAUGUCUACAGAGACGCCUCUCUCGACCCUCCAGUACCAGCUGUUUUCUCUGACAACACCUGGCCUUUUCCUUUAUAGCACUCAUUGCAAUUUAUGAUCACAUAUUUAUUGGCAGAUUAGUUGUUCAUUGUCUGUCUUCCCCACAAGGAUGUCUACUUCAUGAGGGCAGCUUCCUAAGUCCUCAGUGAUCAACUGAGUGCCUGAAUGAAUGAAUGAGUGGUGAGGACAGAAUGGGGGGUAAAAAGCUGGGAGAGGCAGGUACAGUGGCUCACACCUGUAGUCCCAGCACUUUAUGAGGCUAAGGCUGGUGGAUCGCUUGAGCCCAGGAGUUGAAGACCACCCUGGGCAACCCCCUUUCUACCUUGUUAUCAUGGCGAAACCCCAUCUCUACUAAAAAUUAAAAAAAAAAAUCAGCUGGGUGUGGUGGUGUGUGCCUGUAGUCCCAGCUACUCGGGAAGCUGAGUGAGAGAAUCACCUGAGCCUGGGAAGUUGAGUCUGAGAAGUGAGUCAUGAUCGUGGCACUGCACUCUAUCCUGGGCAACAGGAGUGAGACCCUGUCUCAAAAAAAAAAAGAGCGAGGAGGAGGCUGAGGGUUAGAUGAGGCUGUCCAGGGCCUCUCACUGAUGGAGGUGGUCGUGACUCCUAGUCCAGUGCUCUUCCUUCUUCUGGAGCAGGGACACCCUGGGGGACCAGGCUGGGUUUAAUGGGCAGCCAAGCCCCUGAGGACCUAGGGAAGAGGAGGAGGGGAUGGGGGAUCUGAGCCAGCUCCACCCCUUCCCCCAGCAGGCAGGAAGGACAGGGCAGAUCUGUCAGCUUCAGAUACCACUGCCCCAGGGGACCCAGCCCUGAGCCCAGGGAGGCAGGGAAAGAGGGGGGGACAGGAAGCACCCGGGUCUUCCCCUCCUCCCUUUUGCCCCACCCUCCGCCCCCAUCUCUGGCGAGAGAGCUCACAGCCCCAGGCCUUGGCACUAGGGGGACAAGGGCGGGGCAGUGGGGGACAGAAAUCCAGUUCUGGGCAAAUCCCUUCCUCUCCCUCAUUUGGUUUCUGGCCUCAAAUUGGGGACUGCCCUGGCAGCCCCUGGAGAGCUUGGCUGGGGCCUUGAGGCAGGAGGGAUGGAGUGAGAGGGAGAGGGCACUGCCCACUUACACCCUUCCUGUGUGCCCAGCCCUGUGCAGACCUAGCUGCAGUGUCACUCGACAGGAGGAAGAGCCCUGGGCGGGACCUGGGAGGCCUCACUGAAAGGCUGGGCUCUGUCAAUAAUUGCUGUGUGACCUUGGGUGGGGCACAGCCCCUCUCUGGCCACUGUCAUUCUCCUCAUCUGCCAAUGUGGUCCAAACCUGGGGCCAAAGAACACAAGCCCUUGGGGAGUUUUAAAAGACUAAUUCCCAGGCCCCAUUCUGAGUGGUAGAUUUGGGUGGGACAUCUGUAUGUUUAAAUCUCCACUGCGAUUACGACGCACCUGGUGGAGGCACUACUGCCAUAGAUGGUCUAAGGGCCUCUCCCCAGCCUUGAAACUCCCACCCCUAGGGCAGGCCACCCCACUCCUGUGUCCUACUCGGGAAGGCAAGGGCCGCAGUGGCUGGCUGCAUCCUUUGGGGUGCCAGCUGGGACACAGGUGGCAGGCCGUAGGGAGCAGGGUGCUGCCUGGGGAGGGUGUGUGCUGUGGACCUGCCAGGAACAAACACAGAGGGGCCUGGGAGGGCCCUGAGCUUCCCAGCCGGAGUCUCCCCUCCAUCCCCUCCUCUGAAGGCCUCUUCCCCCUGACCUUUCUCCCUUCUUUUCCACUUCGGCCUCCACCUUGUUUCUCUGUCCAUUGCUCCCUCCUUCUCCUCUUUCUGUCCCCAGCCUCCUCUCUCUGGGAAGCUUUUUAAUUUUGACCCCACAUCCCACAGUUGGUUGCUCCUGCCUCUUGGUGUCCUUCCUGUCCUGGCCCUCCUGCCCUGGCUCCCUGUCUCUCUCCGGCCCUGUCUCUAUCUCUCCCUGUUUUUCUCUCCCUGAUGCAUUCUCUCCCUCCCUCCCUCCAUGAAUUUCUCUGUCUCUGUCCUGUGCCACCUCUCAUCUGCCCUGCCUCUGUAAAUGUGGGGAGGACCCUGGGAAAAUGACAGAGAUGGGGAGAGCUGACAAGUUAGAGAAACCAAGGCUUGUGGCAACCCGCAGUCUUCCCCACCUGGCUCCAGCCUACCUUCCCCAGGCCACCCGGCUCUGUCCCCUGCAUGCCCUGGGUCACCCUGCCCCUCCCUCGUGCCUGUGCCCAGCUCCGCAUCUCCCUCUUCCCAUUUCCAGCUUCCCUGACACUGCCCCGGGGCCCUUUCUCUGGCUGUCCCAGGGACCUCACCUCUUGUGAGCCCACAGCUCACUGUCUGUCGAGGGGGGACAGGCAGGAGGUAAGGAUGCGUCCGAGCCUCCCUGGGACACGACCCUCACAGAGUCAUGGAGUGCAGGAUUUGUACCAUCUCCUGGCGCGAGAGCCAGGGUUGCUCAGAUUGAUGGAAGAGCAGGUGUUUGUGUCCCCUUCCGGUGAGAGCUUUCCAGCGCCCAGAGAGCCAAGACGGCUUGUGGAAUUGGGGAAGAGGCAGGGAGAGGGUGGGAAGUGGGAGUGGAGGGGUAUGUUCUUCCCCUCCCGGGGCCUCAGUUUCUCCUCACAAGCUCUUCCCUCUCUCUCAUUGUCUAAGCCUUUCCCUUCCCGCCUCUGGUGCGAUUGGGGGUGGGGCAGGGGCAGGGAAUGAGGGGAUGCUGGGCUUUUACUCAACAGAGCAAUUUAUCCUGUGAUCAAAAGAGGCCAUGGCCGCCUCAUCUCUCCUCAGAGACCUGCCCUGACAGGUGUUGUCCUGCCUCCAGUCCGUGUUAACCCCCUCAAGGCCAGGGCCGGGCCGAGGGUCUGAGCCUUCCAUCUGCCCCUUGAAGGGGCCUCCCUGGGGUCCAGAGACAUCAGGCUGGCCCUGGGGAGGCUGUGGACCCUGGGCCUCACACUUACAUCUGGACAGGCCUUCUGACUUCCAGGGCCUGGUGAGAACCUCAGGUGAAGAGUUGCUGUCAGGCUCCCUGGGCAGGUUGGGGUGGUCCUGCUGUCCCACCCUGGGGACUUUAUUCCAGGGGCUGUGGGCUGGAAGGAGCCCCUGUUCCUUCCAGACUCCCUCUCUGCACCCUCCCUACUGCUGGCCCUGUGGCCCUGGGCGUGGGAUGUGCAGAGGACCGGCCAGGAGAAGGGUUAAGUCAGGGACUCUUGGGAUGGCUUUGGCCACGGCCAUUCCUCCGAGAGAAGAGAACAAGGGGCCCAUUCUGUGUGUGGGAAUUAAUAGCAAAGAGUCAUCUGGGGUGUCACUCAAGCACUGAUCGACUCCCAGAGGAAUGUGAGAGGGAGAGAGAGAGGGAGAGGAGAGGAGAGGAGAGGAGAGGAGAGGAGAGGAGAGGAGAGGAGAGGUGUGGUGGGGGCUGAGAUGGAGAUGUCAAAGGCAGGGCAUUAGGGUCUGGCUGGUACAGGAGCCCGCCCUGGUAGGAGGACCCGCCGCCCCAAGAUGGGUCCUGCUUUUCACCACAGAUGCGCCCCCGUCCCUACACAGGAUGAAGACCCCCUCCUGUCAUUCCCUCACCCAGGGCCUCCCCCUUCUGUCUUCCCUCAUUCCCAGACGGCCGUACCCUCUACCCCGAGGUGGGCCUGCUGGGCAGCUGGCCCUGAGUUCCUGGGCUCUCCCAGUCUGCCCCCAUCUUUGCUGAGAGAUCCAGGUGCUCCUUGUGGGAAAUGCCCUGGGGAUGGUGCUGUGGAGUGCCAGCCUGGGGUCCUGAGUUGUACCCUCUGUCCCAGGAUCCAGGAGCCCCACUUGCCUGGCUCCAGGCCCAGUUCAGACACAUUUCUACCGGGUGGCUGCAGGCACCUUUGGCUGCCUGCGUGUGGGGAUGCUGGAGCUUGUCAGCCAUCACAGGGGGCUCAGCCUUCCUCAUCUGCUCAGGCCCCUGUGGCAGCCUCAGCCUGGCCUGUGGGUGAGGACCAGCAGGCCUCCUGACAUCUGAAUGUCACACCCUAAGGAAGGCCUUGGUGAGGCUCCAGGAGGCCUAGGAGGGUGUGGUGCUCUCCUGCUCCAGUUGUGGGGUUGAGUCAGAAUCCUCCCAGGUCAUCUGCCCCUGGGUGUCCUGACACCCCUUCCCCUCCCCAGGGCCUCAGGCUGGCCACCGAGCCGAAAUGAGCCUAGACUCUGUGGGAUGCAGAGGCAGUGGGGUGCGGAGGAUGAGGGCUUUGGGGCAGUCAGAGCAGGGUGCCCCACUCCUUGGCCCUGUGACCUGGGCAGAGCUCCUUUGUCUCUCUGAGCCCCGGGGUUUCCUCUUGAAAAUGGGUCAUGUCAUAACUGGCAGGUUCAGAGGUAAGAGAAUGUAACAGGUGUCAAGUGCCCGACACAAUAGCCAACCACUGUGUGUUGUUAUUUUUAUUGUGAUGAUUAUUGUUAUUGGAGGGCUGGGCAGCCUCCACUACCCUUGGGCUGGAAGGCACACUGUGCACACCAUUUGACUGCCUGGAUCUGCACCUGGCAGCCUGUGCCCGCUCGGCGAAUUGCAGGGAUCCCAGUGCUGUUCCUCCUCAGCUGUGGUUUUGGCGAGGGUGAGCUUAUUGGCCCCCAGACCUCCUGUGUGCCAGUGUCAUUUCCAUAUCUGGUGACUCAUCCUGCUGGUCCUGCCGGAACAUGAUGCCUCCCCUGACGGCAUGGUGCAGGCACAGUGUGUGCAGCCACUGGCCUCGGUUCCUCCCCUGGGAGUUGGCCACCUGCGCCCCCACGGUAGACUCUGGCAUGCUAAAGCCUGAAGGGAGCUUAGCGGUUGUCCAGCCGGACCUUCUUAUUGUACUGACAGGGAGCUGAGGUCUAGAAAAGAGAGGGCCUUUCUGGGGCACUGUGGAGUAAACAGAGUUGGCAGGCUCUUCUACAUUGGGCUAGGAGUCUGGACUCCUGGGUUCUUGCCCAAACUUGGAUGCUAGGGGCCAAGUGGGCUGGGGAAAUUCCUUACUCAUAGCUGGGGUGAGGAGAGGACACAUGGAGAAAGAAGGUGGAGCCUUUUGCAAACUAAAGUGCUUUCCAAAUAUGGGGGGUUAUCAGGAGGGUGGCUUUGGGCCCCUCGAGAUGGUGCUGACCCUGUGUUCCUCUGCAGUCUGUGCAGGGCACUAGGGUGGUUGGUGUCACCAGCCCAGGGGCUGCUGGACACAGGCCCCACCCAGAGGAAUAAGCCAACACCAUUGAGGAGGGGCAGCCCAGGGCUCCCUGCCUGGCUUUGGAGGUGUAAGGUGUUUGAAAUAACAUUCUCCAACAUGCUCAAAGUGAAACCAGCUUCCUUUGGGAACAUAUGGAGACCACAGGCACUUCACAGGGGCUGAUGAGGACCCACCAACUCUGCUGUGGGCUCUGUCCCUGCCCUUGGAGCUCAUAGCCUGGUGACCUUGGCAUUCAUUAUUUUCAUUCCAGUUCUCAGCACAGCGCUUGGCACAUAGUAGGAACUCAGGAAGUGUUUAUGGGAUGGAAUGGGGUGAUGAUGUUGAGGCAAGAUGAAGGGUAUGAACGGAGAUGACAUCUGCGUCUUGCCUGGAAGCAGAGGGUAGGAAAAGGAGCAAGUAAGGAGUGGCGGCUGGCAUGGGUGCAGCACCACUGAGAGGAGGGGUUGAGAGAGGUUAGAGAAGGACUGGAGUCAACACUCCUGAGAGCCCUUCUUUGCCCUGUGGCCUCUUACUUGCAAGCUAGUUCCCCUCUCUCAGCCUCAGUUUCCUAAUCUGUAAAACAGGGAUAAUAGAAUUUAUUCAUGAGUUGUUGCAAGGCUCAAGAACGGUAACGCAUGGGCCAUGGCAGGCUCUCGACCGUGCCUGCUGGACACCCAGUGUGUUGUGAACAGAGAUCUUUAGAGAGAACAGAUAAAAAUUACAGAAGUAUCUUAUAGAGACACAGUUGACAGAUACAGAAAUAAUGUGAGUUGCAUCAUAUUAGAUUCAGAGAGAUUAAAGAUAGAUUUUUAGGGGAAUUUACGAAUUUAUUCAUUUUGGGGACACAGAGAGCGAUGAGCACUGGGAUGGAGAUAGUGAACGCCUGACAUUGGAGGCUCCUGGACUAUAGAGUUGCUUUGUUUGUUUUUUGGAUGGAGUCUCAUUCUGUUGCCCAGGCUGGAGUGCUGUGGUGUAAUGUCGGCUCACUGCAACCUCUGCCUCCCAGGUUCAAGCGAUUCUCCUGCCUCAGCCUCCUGAGUAGCUGGGAUUACAGGCAUGUACCACUAUGCCUGACUAAUUUUUGUAUUUUUAGUAGAGAUGGGGUUUCACCAUGUUGGCCAGGCUGGUCUCCAUCUCCUGACCUCAAGUGAUCUGCCCGCUUAGGCCUCUCCAAGUGCUGGGAUUACAAAUGUGAGCCACCUUGCCUGGCCAAGUGGUUUUUUUUGGAUGGAGUCUCACUCUGGUGCCCAGACUGGAGUGCAGUGGCAUGAUCUUGGCUCACUGCAACCUCUGCCUCCUGGGCUCAAGCAAUUCUCCCACUUCCGCCUCCUGAGUAGCUGGAAUUACAGGCACCUGCCACCAUGCCUGUAUUUUGUAAAAAUACGAAAAUACAAAUUUUUGUAUUUUUAGUAGAGACCAGGUUUCGCCAUGUUGGUCAGGCUGGUCCCAAACUCCUGACCUUGGGUGAUCCAUCCACCUCAGCCUCUCAAAGUGCUAGGAUUACAUGCGUGAGCCAGCACACCUGGGCUUUUUUUUUUUUAAUUUAUUUUUUUCCCCAAACUUGGACAAAGCAUAUCACUUACAGACUUUUUAUUGGGCCACAAAAAUGCUUAAGAACUAAAGAAGAAAACUCCAGCUCCAAAGUAUACAAAAAUAGCAACAGAGAAAUUAUUCAAAAUUUUAAAUGAAAAAUAAAAAAGACUCUUUAAAACUUGUUUAUAGCCAACCAGUUCUAUGUAGCAUGUGACGUGGGUACAUUUCAACAUGCUUGAUGCAAUGUGGGGUCAAUGGGACCCACAAGAGUCUUAUAAAGUGUCCAGGGCACUGCAACCUCCGCCUCCCAGGCUCAAGCAAUUCUCCCACCUCCCAGCUGAGUAGCUGGGAUUACAGGCACCUGCCACCAUGCCCGGCUAAUUUUUGUAUUUCUAGUAGAGACUGGGUUUCACCAUGUUGGCUGGGGCCAUGGGGCUGGGGUUGCUCAGCAAAGUCAGCUGUGUCUGGGGGCAACUGAGAAGGGCUUCCCGGUGGAGGUGAUGUUUGGGUGCAACCUUACAGAGAGAGAAGGGAUUGAAUAGAGGGGAAAAUGGCCUGAUGGUGACUUUUGAGUCUUUUUUUUUGAGACGGAGUCUUGCUCUAUCACCCAGGCUGGAGUGCAGUGGCGCCAUCUCAGCUCACUGCAAGCUCCGCCUCCUGGGUUCACGCCAUUCUCCUGCCUCAGCCUCCCGAGUAGCUGGGAUUACAGGCACCUGCCACCAGGCCCGGC
Molecule: small RNA, 52548 nt
Filed under: Pan troglodytes (chimpanzee)
Lineage: Eukaryota; Metazoa; Chordata; Mammalia; Primates; Hominidae
Description: sense overlapping
Source: RNAcentral